This 61805-nucleotide long non-coding RNA is filed under the name Capsicum annuum. RNAcentral describes it as "long non-coding RNA (CANN_LNC001346)". The record is from RNAcentral. Lineage: Eukaryota; Viridiplantae; Streptophyta; Magnoliopsida; Solanales; Solanaceae.
UUUUUUUUUUUGGGUUGAUCAAGAAAUAAAAUUAAAAAUUGAAAUAAAAAAAUAAUCAAGAAACAUAUUUAAUAACGAAGAUUAUGACUAUGACAUAAUUCAUAAUUUAGACAUAGAGAUAUGACAUAUUUAGUUUUUAUUUAUCAACUUCACUUUUCAAAUAAUUAAGAUUACUUUGAUUAAUUUAUUUUAAAUUUUAUUCUUAGAUAUUAUUUUAAAUUUAAAAUAAAACUUUUUGAAUUGGAUGAUAUCUUUUUCGAUUUAAAUUAUAAAACAAUUAAAGAGCGCCAUAAUAAAAAAUAAUAAUAUGAUUGAAAGUUAAAAUCUUUUUGUUGGGACAAAUCAUUAAGUUUCAAUUUAAAUAAGUUAUAAAUAUAUUUAAAUUACACUGAUUAAAAUUUGAAGUGAAAUAUGAAUUUAUCUAUACAUUAUUAUUAAAAGGAGAGUAAAGUAUAAAAUACACAUAUUUCAUUUUUUAAGUAUAAGUAAAUAUAUAGUUUUUAAAUUUUAUGUAGAAAUCUUUUAUACUCAUUAAUUGUUGUUGUUUAAAUCAAUUUUAGUUGUUCAAUAAGUUUAGAGAAUUGAAAGUGAUUGCAUUUAUUAAUUUAUUUUGGAGGAAAAUUUAUUUAGGAAAGCAUGGUAAAAACUAAAAUAAGGUUAUAGAAGUCUUUUCACAAUUGUGGUCAAAUUUGGGUCAAAUAAUUGAGGUCAUUUAGCACUAUCCUAAAUUUAAAGUGGAUAUAAAAUUGAUUAAAUAAAAUAAUUAAUUUUUUAACGGCUAAUUUCCCGAUGAAAAAAAUAUUACAAAGUUACCAAAUUUUUUUCUGAAACCCGCAAGAAGUUACCGUUAUCUAUAAAAGAGCGUUUUCACUGGCCCGUUCUUGUUCAUUGUUCUUCUACCAAAAAAAAUACUCUUUGAUUGUUCUUCUCUUGUUUCUGUGGUCCGUUCGUGUUGUUAAUUGUUGUUGUUGGAUUGUUAAAAUGGACAUAGAAACAGUAUUUCUGUCUUGUUUCAAAAUUCAAGAAAAUCCUUCUGAUCUUUUCUCUUUGAUCGAAGCUGCACUUCAGGUGGGUGUGUCCAAGUAUCCUGCAUCCUUUCAAAAGCGCAAAACUAGGAUAAUCAACUUCUUAAUGGAUCCGUCAACACUGGAUGACGAUAGUGUUGUUGGUGAUAAAGAUGAAGUAAUUGGAGACAGUGUUGGUGAUGAUGAACACAAUGGUGAAGAGUCUGACAAACAAAAUCAGAGCAGUAGCGUAGGGUUCAAGAAAACAUCCGAGACUGACUUGGUGGUUACACAAUUGAAUGGUGCUGAAGAUAAACAAGUAACACCGCAGUCCCAUACUACUACAAGAAAGAGGAUGUCGUUGAAUGUGUCCACCAAACGUGUGCAAGUUGCUCCUCUUAUGGCAAAAGAAACAGAGAGCGUCAGUGAUAUGAAGAAAUUUGAAUCAAGCAAGAGGAAAUAUGAGGAAAGGUUAGCGGAGCAAAGUGAAUCCAAGAGAAGGAUUGUGAUGGUGGACUUCCAUCAUAUGCCUAAACCUGCUAAAGACCCUCGUGCUCCCAAACGCUGCUGGGAUACGAGAAGGUUUUGAUAAUCUGAUGAUUCAAUCUGCUAUAAAUUUCACACAAGAAUUUGUAUUCUUUCUUUUUUGUCUUAUAAAUUGUGGACGGUAGUAGUAUCAUUCACAUGACUGAUAUGUUGUUUUUUAUGUAUAUGUGAAUUGUCUCAAUCACAGAAAUAACAUAGUUGCAAUUUCCUAAAUGGGUGUUGUAUUCAUGAAUUUGUGCGAGGAAUUUUAAUUGAAAUGCUUGAUUGAAACCCCUAUAGACUUGCACCGCGUGAUCCUGGGGUGCUGAGGCAUUUGAUAGAAAUCAUGUUCAACGUUGUCAUCUAUGAUUUGAUAUGAUACACAAAGUAGGUGAAAUUGUAGAUGACAAAUCUAACUAGGAUCUCCAGUACCACCACUUGAAAGUUGAAGGAGUUCGUUGGCCUAACCUUAGCCAUCAGUCAAUUUUUUGAUGAAGAGGAUUUUGGAUUUCAUUAGAACAAGAGUUGUUGCCCUUGCACCCAUUUGCUGUUAUAAGAUACCAACUAAUUAGACUCCUAGAGGCGAUAAAAUUUGGCAGGUAGUUACUAAUUAGAGUAUUACAGUUUAGAAAGCCCCGUUACUUUCUGUUUCUUUGUUGCUUAAAUAGGUGAUUGGUUUUCUUGAAUUUCUCUCGAGAAAAGAGGAAUCAGUUUGUUGGCUCUUCUGAUGUUUUAAGUUGUCACGAUCCGAUUUCUCAAGUCAUGAUGGUGCCUACUUUAAUCUACCAGUAGACAAGCCAAGCCCUAGUCUGGAAUGAUAGGUAAUAGGCUAACAGACAGAGACCAAAUAAAAGAUCACGUAUAACGAUAACAACAACAAUAAUAAGUGAAAAUUAAGAAGGGAGCAUAUAUAUUAUAUCAAAACGAGAGGAGGAAAAAGAACCAACUAUACAAAUGAAUCCCUCCCAAGACCUGAUAAGGUCAGUACUAGAGCCAUUACUAAUAGGUACCCAGAGUACUAAACAAAAAUUUAAAAUGUACACAAUAUACACAAGCAGUCUCGAGUGCAAAAGACUAACUAGAGUAGAUAGAGGAGGAUCAGCCUCGGACGACAGCAAGCUCACCCUGCUCUGAAUCAGUACUGGAAGGUAGGAGUCACGUCAACGUCGACUGCUAGUACCCAGAUCUGCAUCAGAAAAAAUAUGCAGAAGUGUAGUAUGAGUACCAAAGCAACGGGUAUCAUCGGCCGACUGAGCUCAAUACAGAAAAGGUAUAACUACAAUACAAGGAUGUAAUCCAAGUAACAGUAAAAAGGGACCAAAAGGGUAAACAACUGUCAAGCUACGCCAAUGAGAUAAAGGAAUAAACGUAAGCGAUACAAAAAAAUAAAUAAUGCAGUAAUAACAGACAAAUCAAAAAUAACUUAACUGGGCCCCCAUAAGCCUGCUAGGCACACUGAAGAAGACAAUUAACCCAAUCGUACCCCCACAAGCCGGUGGAACACACAAGUAAUGAAAAUAAACAUAAAUAAUCUAUAACUGCGCUGAUCCCAAUAAAUCAUGAUAGUCAUCUAGAUGUGCACCAUACUUGAACCGGUAUCAAUGGAUCGUAACGAGAGGCCAGGCAUAUAUAGAACUCAUAAUCAGAUGCCGGAUUCGAACCGAAACUUAGAGGAACCACAACCAUAUUCAGAUCUCGGACUCGAACCGAAACUCAUAGUAACAUUAAUAAUCAAAUGCUGGACUCGAACCGGAACUCAUACUAACAUUAAUAAUCAAAUGCCGGACUCGAACCGGAACUCAUAGUAACAUUAAUAAUCAAAUGCCGGACUCGAACCGGAACUCAUAGUAACAUUAAUAAUCAAAUGCCGGACUCGAACCGGAACUCACAGUAACCAUACCCAACGGUAAUAUUAAAAUUCAUACCAUGUCAUAACAAUGUCAACGUCUAAAUAAUCAUCCAUCAAUUUUAAUUAAAAAGGGAUAAAUUCAAGAUUUUGCAUUUUAGUUUCACGUCCUAAAGUAAUAGAUGCUAUAUUAUAUUAAAGAUAAUAUUCCAAUAUUUAUCAGAACGGGGUUUUAAUCCGAAUAAAUAAGACAAUUUAUAUAAGUCAAAUAAUACGCAUCUACAAGCACCUAUCCAAAGCUAGCAUAAUAGUUUACAGUUUCGGUAAAUAAGCUCAAUCUAAAGGUAGGGUAAGCCUAGCCUACCUGGACGCCAAAGCUAUAAUAUCUUUCCGUGAAACCUCCAAAUAAUAUCCCGCUAGAACCCAAAUUUAAAUAACAUUAAAGAAAUUAUUUUUCACAACGCCUCUUAACUUAUAUGCAACCUUGUAAAGCUAACCAAGAACUCUAACCAAUUUUCCUAAAAAAAGGAAAUCAAACCGAGAAGGACCAAAUACAUGGGAAAAUACAGAUAUGGACGUGUAUAUGUAUACUCACAGUGAUGAAAGUUCACUCUUCCUUUUGUUUUCCACUUUAAAAGGUCAAAUGUACGUAUAUAAGUAAAAUUUAGGCCUAUGGUUUGAAGACAAGUGGCAGCGGUCCACCCUUCCCAUUUAAUAAGCAAAAAUAUAUAUAUAUAUAUAUAUAAAAUCCUAUUUCGUAUAUAUUUGGAUAUUGUAUAAAUCCGUGGUAAAAUAAUUAUAAUAAAUUAAAAUAAUCCACGAUACAUUUAGAUAGUACUAAAAUUAUAUGAAAAUACAGGAAAAUGACCGUAAGGGAUCAUUACAUAAGUAAUCAUGUGGUUCAACUAGCCAAGAUAAAAUGACAAGAUCGAGUACAGCAUACAAAUUUGUUGACUUUGAUGAAUGAUAUUUGACAUUAUGCCAAAAGAAGUAGCAAUAGAAUAAUUGCAGCGAUACACUUCCUUGUUAGGGCCAUGCUUGCUGAGUAUAUUGCACUUGUAUUCUUAUUACUAACAUCACGCCACAUCUUUUCUUGACAUAUACAACAAUAGUGGUCCAGAGUCCAUAUCCUUAACUCUCUGACCGGAUGAUCCUAGUUAAGUUCAUUCUGGGUAGUGUGACUUCACUAAAAGUACUAAAAAAAUUUCAACCAAAAGGUCUAAGAUGUAGUUCUGCGAACCCUGCAACUUUUGCCUAACAGAUGUUAAACCUACAUAUUAGUUGGCAUGUCUAGUACUAAUAUCAUUUGCUUUUGCUCUUUCUUGUGGAGUCUUAAUACUUAAUUCUCUUGAUUUGUGGCCUAAUGUUGAAAUGAUCCACAGAUCAUUAUGUAUAAGCCGAGCAAAGUAACAUCAUAUAUGUUAAGAAGGUUUUGAUCAAAGGUUUGUUCUUCUCUGGUAUCUUUGCUGUCCUUCUAUUGGCUGCCUGUCUCUUGCUUAGCAAUUAUAGCACAUGUAAUGGCCAAACCUAUGGAAAUAUCUGUGCUACACGUGGAUUCAGAAUCUUGCUUAAGAGGGUCUCCUCCUGAUAAAUUGGAAGGCAUUUCCAAUUUCCAACAAAUUCCUGUAACUCUUGAGCUUGUAAUAUUUGCCAAACAGUAGCAUCUGGAUUCAACUAGGACUAGAAAAUUUAAUCUAAACUUCCCAAAUGGUUAUGCCUAUUAAGCAUCUCCUUGAGCUUGUAAUAUUUUCCAAACUGGAAACCAAUCUGCUCAUGGAGAUAUGAAAUUUUCUUUUAGUUCUUUAAGUUCUACUAAAUACUGGCAAAAUGCAUGUUACCAUAGGGAUACAUGCUAAAUCUUGAAGGGUUUCAACUCUCAACCCGACCUAUAAUUGCAACUACAUGAAUUUACUCCAGACCAUACAGGCCUUCCGAAUUGUAUAAUUUGGUGGCCGAAAGUCGUUGUAUAUGAUUAGAACAUGCUCAAAAGUUGUGGGCUUGUGGCUUUAAGACAUUAUUAUGAUGCGGAAGUAUGAUAAAGUAUACUUGACUAUACCAGAUUGCUAGAGAUUUAGCAUACUUCUUAGACUGAGUCUGAUAAUCAGAAAAAUUUAAGUUUAUGUUUAGAAACGAGGAUACUGCCUUUUCUCUCCAUUUUUCUUUUGAGGUGUUGAAUAAGCCAGUCUCUUGUUUUACGUCAGGUUGUUGUUCUGUAUUGCCUGUGAGAGUUUCAUUUUAGUUUCAAUGUUGGCUUGAAGUACUCAGCUUAUGCAUGCGUAGAUUGCAAAUGGUAUCAUCAGCGGUUAUUUCCUCAUUAUUAAAUACUUUAGCAACCCAAGAAGGUAAGUUUAUUGUUCUGAAUGUGUCAACAAAGUGAUGGAACCAGUCCAAUUAAUCUAUUGGAUAAGUAGUGUUACAGUCAUAUACUGUCUAGUGUCUACAGGUCUUCAAAAUUCCCCUGACCUGAACUUCUCUUUGUUGAUAUCAAUGUCUUUUGAAGCUGGUAUGCAGUUAAAAGAUUUGUAAACUGAGUGCUUUCUGUAUAUUUGUAACGACCUAAAAAUUUGAUGAAAUAUGUGAAAUUUGGGAUUUUGUGUGAUUUGACUGUUUUACCCCUCCCCGUAGUUGCAUUAUGGUAUUUUUGGGGUGUGGGAGUGGUUGACAUGAUUUUUGAUGCAUUUUGGUAGCAUUUAUGCAAUAUUGUGGUUUUUUAUGGCUUCGAGAGACUUAUUUUGGACUUAUGUGGUUAUAUUUUGAUCCGUGCAACGGAUGACCGAACGAACUGCGCCAACAGGUCCGUAAUAUCGAUUUUAGGCUAGGUAGACCUUUGGUUCGGGUCCUGGUUCACCCGAGCUCAUUUCGACCUUUUGAUUGGAAAGUUGGAAAAUUUGAAAUAUGGGUGUAGGACCCACAUUUGAUCGAAACAACCUCGGAUGGAAAAUCCGACUUCUCCAGUAGAUACAAAAUGUCGAUUUUAGUGUGUUAGCAUGUUUGUUAUGAUUUUACAGCUUUUAAAUCUCACUUCGACCCUUGGUUUGGAAAAUUGUGAUUUCGGGUUUUGGGGAUCAGUUUUGUGAAAAUGACUUUUUCUGGAAAAUCUGGUAUCGCCAUCGCAUCCGGAACGUCGAAUUUAGUAUGGUUGAAUAUUUCGUUUGCAUAAAUCGGACUCCAAACGAAUUCCGAGCACCCCAUCGAAGUCCAUUUCGAGUUAGAAUAAAAACUGCUCAGUUAUGCAGAAAAAUCUGCAAUAUAUAUAAUAGCUUUUUCACAUUUUUGGCCCAUUUUGCUCAUUUUUCAUCUUGUCUCUUGAGAGUUAAACCCUAAAUAUUUUGGGAAGUGAAGUUUAUGGGAGCUUAGGAAGCUAGAUUAACACCUAUUUCUUGAUUAUAUUACAGAUUUAAGGUAAGAAUUCACCCUUUUAAGAUAAUUUCUUCCUUAAUUUCUCGAACCCCCAAAAAAUCUUAGAGCAUGAUUUUCCCAAAUUUUAUCCUUUUCACUUGUAUAAUAUUUUUAUUUUAUAAUUACUAGUUUUUCAUCAAUUUAACCUUCAAAACAACUCUGAUUCUUGAUUUUAACCCGAAUUUCAAGGAUUUUACCCGAUAAAGCUCAAAAAUGAUUUUUCUUCUAUUUGAACACCGUUUUUCACUCGAUUUAACUUGGGUUUUAAGUUGUAGGUUCCUAAAAGUAUGGGGAAUAUAAUUUUGAAGUAAAGUUUCAAUUUUUUCCUUCUUUCUCGAAAAACUAUUUUGGAGGUCCGUUUUUACCCCGAACCAAAAGUAAAGUAGUCAAUAUGGGUGUCGUUGAUUUUGUUUUGAUGCAUAGAUUUCAUAUUUGAUGUUUUUAUUGUUUAAUGUGGUACCAUGGGUGUAUUGUGAUUAUAUUCAUACUUUACUGGCAUAUGAGACAUGUGGAAAUUCAUGGAUGAAAUGAAAAUAACGAGUGAAUAUUGGCUCAUGUGGUUGUGGAAAUGUAUCAUUUUGGUUGGUUAUGGAAAUACUUAUUGUGAUUGGUUGUGAGCAUUACAUCUUCAUAUCAUACUCUUUCAUGAAACAUUGGCACCACCGUGGCAACAUCUGAGAAACACUGGCAAUACCUUUUUUAAAAAUAUUGUAACACCUUAUAAAACCCUUUUCGAGGGAUGUGCCGGAAAGGAAAUAUGAGAUAUGUAGAUUGUCUAUGGGUUGACGAACCCCCCAUGGGUCCUACAUCGAGAAGCUUUGGCUCCAUAGGUGUAUACGGGGAUUGUGCGACGAUUCCGGAGGUUGUGAGACAACCUCGUGCAUCAUCAUCAUCAUCAUCAUCAUCAUCACCAUUAUCAUUAGCAUAUACAUUGCACUUACUUUAUUGUGUUUAUGUUGUGUUGUAUUGCCUUAUUGACUUGUCAUCUAUGUAUUUGUCUUACCUUUCUUUACUUAUAUUUGCUGAUCUUAUAUCUACAUGUUCUCUCUUACUCUAUUUUAUAUAUGACAUAAUCUAUACUUGUGUUCUAUAUCUUGACGUGUUUUUGCAAUAUAUGUGAGAUAUAUUAGAACUGUUAGUGCAAGCGGUGUGGGCUACCGUUGUGGGACAUUUUCUGAUUGCAGGUGACGUGCCCUUAGUGUAUAUUUUGUAUGCCUUAUUUACUACUUUGUUUAGUCGGUCUAUGAUACCUACUGAGUACAAGUGGACCGUACUCAUGCCUACUGCGCCCUUUCGAUGCAGGUCCUAGCUCGAGUGCGCCUCAGCUUACUUGAUUCGGGCGGUUGUUGGAGCUUCCAAGGUAGCGGUUGGACAUUCAUGCGUUCGAAGUUCACAUCUAUCUUUCUAUACUAGUUAUGUCUUUAUUAGUGCUCGGAGACAGUUAUUAUUCCUUUGUGGUUAUUUUUUUGAUGUAUUUGACUCUUGGAUUGUAUUAGUAGUUCUUACACUAUUGACACCUGGUUUUGGGCAUAAUUGGUAUUUUGGAUAAGUUCUUUCCGCAUUGUUAUGAGUAUUAUAUGGUUCGGCUUCAUUCUAGAAGCCUUACCUUGGGUAUAUCCACUAUUGACACAAGUGGAUAUGUAUUUACUAUCGGUGGAGGAGCAGUUUCUUGGAAAUCAUCCAAACAAACUUGUAUCGCUCGCUCUAUAAUGGAAUCUGAAUUUAUCGCAUUAGAUAAAGUCGAUGAAGAAGCAAAAUGGCUUUGAAAUUUCUUGAAAGAUAUUCCAUAUUGGCCCAAGCCAGUGGCACCAGUAUGUAUACACUGUGAUAGCCAAGCAGCAAUAGGUAGGGCAGAGAGCAUGAUGUAUAACGGUAAAUCUCGUCUUAUAAGACGAAGACAUAAUACCGUUAGAGAACUUCUCUCUACUGGAAUUAUCACUGUAGACUAUGUAAAGUGGAAAGAUAAUGUGUCGGAUCCACUUACAAAAGGCCUAUUUAGAGAAGGAGUGGAAAAAACAUCCAAGGGAAUGGGUUUAAGGCUUAGGACAAGUCAGCAUGGUGGUAACUUUACCUAGCAGACUGGAGAUCCCAAGAGCUAGGUUCAAGGAGAUCAAACAAAUUUGUGUCUGACAGGUUCAACAUUGUCAAUUACCCAAUUCAUUCUCAUGAUGUAGACAAUGUAUAGUAAACAAGGAUAAGACUUAAGGCGAAAAGUAUUUUAAAGAUUAUCUAAAUUUGGCAGAUUUGACCAAAUAGUUUAAUCUAUAGGAUUGAACGUUUAGAAAUCACCUAUGUGUGGGCGAAGUGGAAGCAGCUUCAAAGAAAAUGUUAGUAAUGGCCUAUUCUCUAAGCUCUCAUGAAAAUCGAGACGUGUUCAUGGCUGAAAAGAACAAAACCGUAAGAACCAUAAACAGUAAAAGGCUGGUUGUGUGAUAUGUGUUGUCUUGGUGUACAUUAAAGCUUGACGGUUCAAAGAUAUCAAAUCUACCGAUUGACCGAGUGCAUCCGAUGCAUGUUCACUACGAAAAGUUCAAGAGGAAACCCACUUAUCCAGAUGCAAUCAGUCUUUGCUUGAUGAUCACAUACUUGUCCGUAAAAGUUUUACGAAAAUAAUAGUCAUUCCCCAUUCAUGUGGGAGAUUGUUGGGUUCAUAGUAAUGAAAGGGUGUGAAUGGAAAUAUUAAAACAUGCAGGAAUGUGUGCACAGUGACUAUUUCGCGUCAAAAGUAGCACUGUUACGUGAACAGUAGCACUGUUUCAAGUGAAUAGUGCACUUCUUCAUGAACUGACGCGUGAAUAGUGACUGUUUCGAGUGAAUAGUAGCAUUGUUACGUGAACAGUAGCACUGUUACGUGAACAGUAUCACUGUUUUGCGUGAACAGUGCACUGCUUCAUGAACUGCUGCAACACUAUUUUGAACUGAUGCAAUGUUCCAUGAAAUGGUGUAUUGUUUCAGAAAAUUACUGCAAUGGUUUAAGUAAACAGACAUGUAUUUUCAGGAAAAGACACACACCUCUAAAUUGAACCAAUGCCACCUUUCAAAGGGGCAUCUUGUGGCUAUAAAUAACCUGCUUUCUUCCACAGGUUAAGAUAGAAAAAAUUUUCAGGAUUACAAGCUUACUCUUCUUCUUAAAAAUACUCUAAGUAUGAUCAUUCAAACCGUGAGUGUGUUUGAAGAAUCUGCCUAUUUGAGGUACCGCUAUAGUCGGAUUGAAGGCCAUUUUAUCCUGGGAGGAAAAUUCCCUAACCUCGGGUACAGUAAAGGGAAUUAUUCCUUAAGGAAAAUCCGUGAAUUCAGACGACUUGGCCUUAAACAUUUCUGUUUCAUCUUUAUUUUCUAAAAGAUAAAUACACCUCUUGGAAAGGUCCUUUUAAUCUUGUGUUGAGGGUAUUUAAAACUUCAUUGUGUUCUUGUUCAUACUUGAACAUGAGUUGAAGUUGUUGUUCUGUUAUACAGAUUCUACGUACCCGUAUUGUGGAAGAUAACAAUUUCCUCAUUAUUAAAUACUUUAGCAACCCAAUAAGGUAAGUUUAUUGUUCUGAAUGUGUCAACAAAGUGAUGGAACCGGUCAACUUAAUCUAUUGGAUAAGUAGUGUUACAGUCAUACUGUCUAGUGUCUACAGGUCUUCAAAAUUCCCCUGAACUGAACUUAUCUUUGUUGAUAUCAAUGUCUUUUGAAGCUGGUAUAUAGUUAAAAGAUUUGUAAACUGAGUGCUUUCUGUAUAUUUGUAACGACCUAAAAAUAUGAUAAAAUAUGUGAAAUUUGAGAUUUUGUGUGAUUUGACUAUUUUACCCCUCCCCAUAGUUGCAUUAUGAUAUUUUUGGGGUGUGAGAAUGGUUGACACGAUUUUUGAUGCAUUUUGGUAUCAUUUAUGCAAUAUUGUGGUUUUUGAUGGCUUCGAUAGCCUUAUUUUGGACUUAUGUGGUUAUAUUUUGAUCCGUGCAAUGGAUGACCGAACGGACUGCACCAGCAGCUCCUGAAUAUCUAUUUUAGGCUAGGUAGACCUUUGGUUCGGGUCCUGGUUCACCCGAGCUCAUUUCGACCUAUUGAUUGGAAAGUUGGAAAAUUUGAAAUAUGGGUGUAGGACCCACAUUUGAUCGAGACGACCUCGGAUGGAAAAUCCGACUUCUCCAGCUGAUCCAGAAUGUCUACUUUAGUGUGUUAGCAUAUAUGUUAUGAUUUUACAGCUUUUAAAUCUCAUUUCGACCCUCAAUUUGAAAAAUUAUAAUUUCGGGUUUCGGGGGUCAAUUUUGUGAAAAUAACUUUUUCUGGAAAAUCUGCUAUCGCCAUCGCAUCCGGAACAUCAAAUCUAUUAUGGUUGCAUAGUUCGUUUGUAUAAAUCGGACUCCGAACAAAUCUCGAGCACCCCAUCAAAGUCCAUUUCGAGUUAGAAUAAAAACUGCUCAGUUAUGCAGUAAAAUCUGCAAUAUAUAUAGCAGCUUUUUCACAUUUUUGGACCAUUUUGCUUAUUUUGCAUCUUGUCUUUUGAGAUUUAAACCCUAAAUAUGUUGGGAGCUUAAAGGAAGCUAGAUUGACACCUAUUUCUUGAUUAUAUUACGGAUUUAAGGUAAGAAUUCACUCUUUUCUUAGUAAUUUUUUUUUUAAUUUCUCAAAACCCCAAAAAAUCUUAGGGCAUGAUUUAAACCCAAAAUUUUACCCUUUUCACUUGUAUAAUAUUUUUAUCUCAUAAUUACUAUUUUUUCAUCAAUUUAACCUUCAAAACAACUCCGAUUCUUGAUUUUAACCCGGAUUUCAAGGAUUUUACCCGGUAAAGCUCAAAAAUAGUUUUUCUUCGAUUUGAACCCCAUUUUUCACUCGACUUAACUUGGGUUUUCAGAUGUAGGUUCCUAAAAAUAUGGAGAACAUAUUUUUGAAGUAAAUUUCCAAUUUGCCCUUAUUUUUGGAAACUUAUUUUAGAAGUCUGUUUUAACCCCGAACUAAAAGUAGUAAAUAUGGGUGUCGUUGGUUUUUUUUUACGCGUAGAUUUCAUAUUUGAUAUUUUUAGUAGAGUUUGGAAUUAUUUGUGAAAAGUAAGGUCGCGGGUUCAAGUGUAGCGGAUCGAUUUCGGCUUUCGAGGUAGGUUAUGGUUUAACUCUUCAGACUGGGCUGGGUAGUAAAUGAUGGUACAAAAUGCAUGUUAAGGGUGGGAACUAAUCAUGAAAAAUUUCUAUCUACGUGUUGUACCCGUGUGGGGGCCUAUAUGUGAUGUAAUUGUUGAAAUUGAAAUAUUAUGUAAUAUGUUUGACCGUGUGGGGUCCUAUGUGACAUUGAUAGACUUGAAUACAUGUGACUAAUUGUAUUGUAUUAUUUAAUGUGGUACCAUGGGUGUAUUGUGAUUAUAUUCAUACGUUACUGGCAUUUGAGACAUGUGAAAAUUCAUGGAUGAAAUGAAAAUAACGAGUGCAUAUUGGCUCAUGUGGUUGUGGAAAUGUAUCAUUGUGGUUGGUUGUGGAAAUACUUAAUGUGAUUGGUUGUGAGCAUUACAUCUUCAUAACAUACUCUUUCAUGAAACAUUGGUACCACCGUGGCAACAUCUGAAAAAUACUGGCAACACCUUUUUAAAAAUAUUGUAACACCUUAUAAAACCCUUUCCGAGGGAUGUACCGGAAAGGAGAUAUGAGAUAUGUGGAUUGUAUAUUGGUUGACGACCCCCCAUGGGUCUUACAUCGGGAAGCUUUGGCUCCGUAGGUGUAUACGUGGAUUGUGCGACGAUCCCGGAGAUUGUGCGACAACCUCGUGCAUCAUCAUCAUCAUCAUCAUCAUCAUCAUUAUUAUAUAUAUUGCACUUACUUUAUUGUGUUUAUGUUGUGUAGUAUUGCCUUGUUGACUUGUCAUCUAUGUAUUUAUCUUACCUUUCUUUACUUGUAUUUGAUGAUCUUGUAUCUAUAUGUUCUCUCUUGCUCUAUUUUAUAUGUGACAUAAUCUAUACUUGUGUUCUAUAUCUUGAUGUGUUUUUGCAAUAUAUGUGAUAUAUAUUAGAACUGUUAGUGCAAGCGGUGUGGGCUACCAUUGUGGGACAUUUUCUGAUUGCAGGUGACGUGCCCUUACUGUAUAUUUUAUAUGCCUUAUUUACUAAUUUGCUUAGUCGGUCUAUGAUACCUACUGAGUACAAAUGGAUUGUACUCAUCCCUACUGCCCUCUUUCGGUGCAGGUCCUAGCUCGAGUGCGCCUCAGCUUACUUGAUUCGGGCGAUUAUUGGAGCUUCCAAGGUAGCGGUUGGACAUUCAUGUGUCCGAAGUUCACCUCUAUCUUUCUAUACUAGUUAUGUCUUUAUUAGUGCUCGGAGAUAGUUAUUAUUCCUUUGUGUUUAUUUUUCCGAUGUAUUUGACUCUUGGAUUAUAUUAGUAGUUCUUACACUAUUGACACCUGGUUUUGGGCAUGAUUGGUGUUUUGGAUAAGUUCUUUCCGCAUUGUUAUGAGUAUUUAUAUUGUUCGGCUUUAUUCUAGAAGCCUUACCUUGGGUAUUUCUGUCUUUUUCUUUAUUUGUAUCAGUUUGGGUGAUAGGCUUACUUGUCAAGGUACGCCGUGACAAGUGCCAUCAUAACCCUUAUUUUUAGGUCAUGACAAUUGGUAUCAGAGUAGCCAGGUUUCAUUGGUCUUAACGGUGUAAGAACGGGAUGUCUAAUAGAGUCUCAUGAAUAGGUACGUAGACGUCUGUAUCUAUCUUCAAGAGUCUAUAGGAUCUCUUUAGGAAAAUUCUCUCAUUUUAUUCUUUAUCGUGCAAAAUUCUUUCAUACCCUGUAUUCUAAGUUGUGUUUCACUCUUUCUAUGCGAAUGGAGUUGCUUAUAACUCUUAUCAGUUGAGAGAUACAGCGAGAGAUUAUUGGAUAUCAUUUGUUGGUUGUAGGCUUGUUAAUGCUCCAAUUUGUCAUGGGAUUAGUUUGUUGAUGCCUUUUUGGAGAGAUUUAUACCUUUUAGUUUAAGAGAUCAUAUGUGGGAUGAGUUUGAUAAUUUGGAGUGGGGCUCCAUGAUAGUUUUUUAGUAGAAGGCAUGUUUCCAUACCCUAUCUUGAUAUUUCUAAGAUAGCAUUUCCACCGAGUUUGAGAAGAUUCAAAAGUUUGUGAAGGGUUGGGCUGUCUUCCUUCUAUUGGCUACAUUUUAUACAAUUGUGUUUGGGGAUUCUUUUUAUAGUAUUGUGGAUCAUGCUAAGAAAACAUAGGAUAUUCUUAGUGCAUCUCAGGGAGGCACCAAGAAGGCACGAUAUUUUGGUGAGUUCAGGAGUCAAACCUCUCGAGGCAAAAAUUUUAGAGGUUCUCAUGGAUACUAUAGUAGGAUAGUGCAGGCGGCAUUAUAGAGUUCAGGUGGUGGACCUUCUAGUCCAGCAGUUCAGGGUGGUCGUUCAGGCCUAGUUGUACCUUCUCCUAUUGAGGCUAGUCGCAGAGGUUGUUAUGUGUGUGAUGAUAUUAGCCAUGUGGCUAAGGAAUGUUCUUGUCGCGUGUUUAGAGAUAACCUUAUUUCAGCUGUGAGAGGUAGGUGUUCUACCAAAGGUAUUAGAGGUAGAGAUGGUAGAGCCUGUGUUGGUGGUUAUGGGGCCACUCAGCCAGAUGGUAGUCAUGGAUAGUGCUACGCUAUAUUAGUCAGAUUUGAGGCGGACGCUUUAGAUGUUGUGAUUGCAGAUACCGUUCCAUUUGUUUCAUACUUGCAUGUUAUUAUUUGAUCCUGGAUCGAAUUUCUUCUAUGUGUCUGUAUAUUUUUAUUCGGGUUUUGAUUCUGCUAGGGAGCCUCUUGCCAUGUCUAUUCAUGUAUCUACCUUGGUAGGUGAUUCCUUAGUGGUGGAUCGAGUAUACCGAUCUUGUGUUGUGACUUUUGCCGGACGUGAAACUUUGGUAGACUUGCUUGUGCUAGAUAUGGUCGAUUUUGAUGUUAUUUUGGAUAUGAAUUGUUUGGCUCCUUAUCACGUUGUCUUAGAUUGUUUUGCUAGGACUAUGACUUUAGCUUUAGUUGGUGUGACAAGGAUAGCUUAGAAAGGGUACACUUAAUUCGGGUCCUAAGAGGGUUAUAUCUUAUGUCCAGGCUCAUAAAUUGGUUAAGAAGGGAUGUUUAUCUUACUUGGCCCAUAUUCGUGACACAAGCAUUAUUUCACCUUCUUUCUUGGAUUCUGUCCGUAUUGCCAGUGAGUUUAUGGAGGUGUUCCCUACGGACAUUCCUAGUAUGCCUUCGAAUUGAGAUAUUGAUUUUAUUAUUGAUGUUCAGUCGGGCACCGAGCCCAUUUCUAUUUCUCCUUAUAGGAUGGCCCUAACAGAGUUGAAAGGAACUGAAUGAUCAGUUAUAGGAGUUGUUGGAUAAGGGAUUUAUUCUACCUAGUAUUUUACCUUGGGGUGCGUCUGUCUUCUAUGUAAAGAGAAAGGAUAGGUCUAUGCAGAUAUAUAUUGAUUAUCGAUAGUUAAACAAAGUGAUGGUUAAGAAUAAGUAUCCUCUUCCUCGCAUUGAUGAUUUGUUUGACCAGCUUCAGGGCUCUGUGGUGUUUUUGAGGAUUAGAGCUUUGGAUAUUUCAAAAAUUACUUUUCAGACUCGAUAUGGUCAUUAUAAGUUCUUGGUCAUGUCUUUUGGGUUGACCAAUUCCCCUGCCUUGUUCAUGGAGUUGAUGAAUAAGUAUUUCGACCGUAUAUUGGCUCCUUUAUUAUGGUAUUUAUAGAUGAUAUCUUGGUUUAUUCCAAGAGUGAGGUUGAGCAAGAGGAGCAUUUGUGGAUUAUGCUUUAGAGAUUAAGGGAUGAGAAGUUGUUUGCUAAGUUCUCUAAGUGUGAGUUUUGGUUAAUGUCUAUUUUCUUUUUUGGGUCAUGUGGUGACUAAGGAAGGUAUUAUGGUUGAUCCAGCUAAGGUUGUAGCGGUUCAUGAUUUGUUUACUUCAGCUUCUAUAUUAGCUUUGCCUAAGGAGGGCGUGGGCUUUAUUGUCUUUUAUGAUGCUUCAGGUGUUGGGUUAGGUGAUGUGUUGAUGCAGGAGGGCAAGGUUAUUAUUUAUGCAUCUCAUCAAUUGAAUCCUCAUGAGAGGAAUUAUCCUACCCAUGAUUUGGAGUUGUACACAGUUGUGUUUGCCUUAAAGUUUUGGAGGCACUGCUUUUAUGGAUUCCAUUAUGAGAUCUUCUCAGAUCAUCGUAGCCUUUUGUACUUCUUUAUCAGUGAGAUAUUCUUAGGAGGCAGCGUCGUUGGCUUGAGUUGCUUAAGGAUUAUGACUUGACUAUUAUCUACCAUUAGGGUAAGGCUAAUGUGAUUGUUGAUACCUUGAGCUAGAAGUCGGCUAGCAUGGGUAGCUUGGUGUAUCUUUGACUUAGGAGAGGUCAUUGGCCUUGGAGGUUCAGCCUUUAGCUAAUCUGAUGGUCAGGUUUGAUAUUUCAACACCAGGACAUGUUUUGGCACUUGUGGAUGCUAGACCCUCUUUGAUGGAACAGAUUCGAGCUCAUUAGUUUGACGAUGUUGGGUUGAGGUUGAUUCAAGAUAAGAUGUUGAGUGGAGAGUCUAAGGAAGCCUCACCUAAUUCAGAUAAAGUUUUGAGGAUUGAGGGCUGAGUUUGUAUACCGAGAGUGGUGAUCGAAUUAGGUUGAUCUUGGAAGAGGCCCAUUGUUCUAGAUAUUCCAUACAUCCAGGUGUGACUAAGAUGUAUCGUGAUUUAAGACAGCACUACUGGUGGGAUGGUAUGAGGUUAGAUAUAGCAGAUUUUGUGUCUCGUUGCCUGUGUUGUCAGCAGGUGUAGGCCGAGCAUAUGAGAUUUGGUGGUUUACUUCAGAGGUUACCCAUUCCUGAGUGGAAGUGAGAACGCAUCACUAUGGACUUUGUGACUGGUUUUCUGCGUACAUCUUAUGGUUCUGAUAGUGUUUGGGUUAUCAUGGAUCGAUCGACCAGGUCAGCUUAUUUUAUUUUGGUUCAGGUCUCAGUUAGUGGUAACAGGUUUGCCCGUAUCUACAUUCGUGAGAUUGUGCGUCUGCAAGGUGUGCCGGUGUCCAUUAUUUCAGAUUGAGGUCCUGUGUUCACAUCUCACUUUUGGAAGACUUUUCAGGAUGAGUUAGGUACUCGAGUGGAUCUUAGUUCCGCGUUUCACCCCAGACUGAUGGCCAAUCAGAAUGGACUAUCCAGGUUUUAGAAUAAGCUCCGUGCGUGCGUGAUGGAUUUUGGUGGCCAGUGGGAGCAGCAUUUGGCUUUAGCAUAGUUUGCACAUAGUAAUAGCUACCAUUCCUGCAUUGAUAUGGCUCCUUUUGAGGCAUUGUAUGGUAGGCGCUGCCGCUCUCCAGUAGGUUGGUUUGAUGUUUCAGAGGUAAGACCUCGAGGUACGGACUUACUUCGUGAUCUUUGGAUAGGGUCCGGGUCAUUCAGGAUAGACUUAGAGCGACCCAAAGUAGGCAGAAGUGUUAUGCUGAUCGUAGAUUUUGUGUCUUGAGUUUUGGUAUUAGUGAUCGUAUUUUCCUUUGAGUUUUACCCAUGAAGGGUGUGAUGAAGUUUGGGAAGAGGGGCAAGCUUAGCCCCAGGUAUAUUGAUCCGUUUGAGAUUUUUUGGACUAUUGGUGAUGUGGUUUAUGAGUUGGCUUUGCCCCUUGAUCUAUCUAUUGUUCAUCCAGUUUUCAUGUUUUAUGCUUCAUUGUUAUAUUCUUGACAAGUCUUAUGUCAUUCGUUGGGAUUCAGUUCAGUUAGAUGAGCGGUUGUUGUUUGUUGAGGAGCCAGUUUCCAUUUUAGCUAGGGAAGUUAGGCAGUUGCGCUCUAAAGUGAUCCUUGUGGUUCAGGUCCAGUGGCAACUUUGACCUAUAGAUAUGACUACUUGGGAGAUUAAGUCUGAUAUGCGUAGAUCCUAUCUCUAGCUUUUCAUUGAUUCAGGUAUUUCCUUGCCUUAGUUCGAGGACGAACUAGAUUUUUAGUGGUGGACGAUGCAACGACCUAAAAAUUUGAUGAAAUAUGUGAAAUUUGUGAUUUUGUAUGAUUUGACUGAUUUACCCCUCUCCGUAGUUACAUUAUGGUAUUUCUAGGUUGUGGGAGUGGUUGACAUGAUUUUUGAUGCAUUUUGGCAUCAUUUAUGCAAUAUUAUGGUUUUUGAUGGCUUCGAGAGCCUUAUUUUGGACUUAUAUGGUUAUAUUUUGAUCUGUACGACCAAUGACCGAACCUACGACCAAUAACCGAACGGCUUGCGCCAGCAACUCCGGAAUAUCGAUUUUAGGCUAGGUAGACCUUUGGUUCGGGUCCUGGUUCACCCGAGCUCAUUUCGACCUAUUGAUCGGAAAGUUGGAAAAUUUGAAAUAUGGGUGUAGGACCCACAUUAGAUUGAAAUGACCUUGGAUGGAAAAUCCGACUUCUCCAGCAGAUCUGGAAUGUCGAUUUUAGUGUGUUAGCAUGUUUGUUAUGAUUUUACAGCUUUUAAAUCUCAUUUCGACCCUCGGUUUUUAAAAUUGUGAUUUCGGGUUUCGAAGCUUGGUAUGAGGAUUGGAUGUUUGGGAGUGGAGGUUGGUACUGAGGUUGGGCAUUUGAGUGUAGAGCUAGGUAUUAGGGGUGGGCAUAGAACACGUGCUGAAGGUUGGGUGACGGCGGAGAAGAUAAAACAUUUCUAGAGUUGAACCUUUUUUUCGUUUUUGCAAUAUAAUUAGCAGAAAUCACACCUACAUCUUCCUUUUUCUUCUUCGAGAACAUGACAGUCCUAGACGAAGUCGGGGUUUUGGCAAUUUUCCCUGUCCGAAUACCUUCUUCCAAUGAUUCUCCUAUUUUUGCCAAAUCAUCAAAAGUUCCCCUAACAGCGGACACUUCCUGGAAUAAUAUUCUCCUUCUUGAGCGCGAGAGAACACGGAUACCAUUUCCUUCUCGGACAUGGGGGGUUGGACUUUGCGGCUUCUUUCCUCCAACGAAAAGCAUAGUCUCGAAAACUCUCAACAUUCCUCUAUUUGAUCCGAUCUAGUGAAUAUCGGUCUGGGACUAUUUCAAUGUUGAAUGCGAACCGGUCAAGGAAACCCUUGGCUAAUGCUUUCCAACCAGUCCACCUUUUCAGCUCCUGAGACAUGAACCACUCCAAGGCUUCAGCACUCAAACUUCGACUGAAUAGGCACAUCAAUAAAGCCUCAUUUUUCCCUAUCCCUACCAGUUGCUCACAAUACCUUCUUAGAUGGGCCAUUGGAUUUCUCGUACUGUCAAACAUCUUAAACUUAGAGACUUUGUACCCAUCUGGUAGGUCUACUCCCGGAUGAACACAUAAAUCGUCAUACCCCAAACCGUCGUGGUCCCUGGCUCCAUGAGACUAUUUGAUCCUCAUGAUCUCUUCAUUUAUAGCUAGCAUAUUCCUUUCAUGCUGGGUUCUCCACUCUUUCUCCUUCUCCUCAUAAUGGUCCAUCUCGGGGUUAGGAAGGGGUUCAUAAAUAUCAGGGGAUAUGAUGGCUUGAGGGGGAUUUGGAAGAAAAGCUUGAUUUUAUGGAAGAAAGGAACUUGGUUGGUAAGUGGGGAGGAUAUUUUAGAAAUUGGAAAGGUUCUGUGGACUUUGUGAGUUGUUUGGCGGAAUAUGAGAAGGAUUCUGAAAGUUUGGCGGAAUAUGAGAAGGAUUCUGCGGAUAUGGAAAUGAAUUUGGUGGAUUCAAAGGUAGGUUUGACGUAUUUUAUGGAUUUGGGAGUGAAUCUUGCGGAUUUAGGAAUGCGUUUUGUUGAUUUGAGAAUGUAUUUUGAGGAUUUGGAAAACAAACAUUGCCUGAAGAAAUGAGCACAUAAAACAAACGCACAUAAGCACAUAAAACAGUUAUAUCACACAACAACAUUAUAAUAACGCGUAUCCUAGCUGGGGUGACCCUUUUUGAGCCAAGGGUUCAGGCCUAACGAUUUUUGAAGAAAAUAUAUGCUUCCUCAAAGUCAAUCCAUUAACCCCCCCAACUUAUAUAGGCAUGAGAAAGGGCAUAAAUUCCUACAAAAUAUAACGAAAAAAGGGAUAAAAUCUUUAGAGAAAAAGGGAAAUAACAUCAAAGAAGAUAAGUUCCCGCGUAGGGGAAAUAGAAAAACUAGCUACUGGAGGCUCCUUCGUCUUCCUUUUCCUUCUUUGCCUUGUUUACCUCCUGUGCUAUUUGAUACCUAUUGAUGAUAAGAUGACUCCCGCAUAAUUUUGCCUUACAGUCGUAAGUCAUUUUCCCUAUACUAUCUAGUUGGGAGGCCAUGCUAUCAUCCAAAUCGAUUAGACAUUGCCUGGCAUCAUCAGCUUCUUGCCUAGCUCUUUUCAAUUCUUCCCUCAACAUACAUAUGGUUAAAGCGUCCUCCAUGUGUAUCUGUCGGAGCGCGAUUUCACUUUUCUGGAACUCAUUUUGUAGCCUGUGGAGAGGAAUUUGAUGCUCGGAUUCUACAUCCACAACCCGAGUGGGCAUAUUUGGUCCCAGAAUCAAUGCUCCGGCGAGACUCUUUUUCAACCACUCCUUGUAAGUAUCGCUGACUUCAGGGUCAUGCUCUAUACGGAAAGUCACUUUCGUCCACCUUCUUCUUCUCCAUCCAUUUACCAUGCCGUCUUUGAGCGGAGACUCAAUUUCAUCGUAUUCGGUGAAAAACCUAAGCAUGGAAUCUAUUUGUGGUGCCUCCUGCUUGAUCUCGAAUUGCCUAAGAACUCUACCAGGAUUGUAAGGACGGGUCCCCCUGAGACCGGGAAGCACUAGGAAAGGCCAUUUGCCCCCUCGAAUGGUGUAUUUCCUUAAAUGAAGAGAGUUAAUGGACCAUUGCACAUCAUCGUCUCUUAAUUCCCCGAAAGUCUUAAACCAAAAUUCGUGAGAUGCUUCCCUUUUGAACUUGUGUAGAAACAACCACAUGUCGUGCGAAGCCAGUAUAUCCACCCUUGUUUUAUGAUCAGGUUGUACCGUUCUCGAAUCCUUUACCAAAUGCUUCAUCAUCCACCAUUGUAAUAUGAGAUUGCAACCUUGAAAGAAAUAAUUUUUGACUUGACACCUUACUAAGGCUCGAUAUAUGUCGGCGACAAUCAUGGGAGCUAAAUUAUGGAAUACCUUGGUAGAAUCAUAAUCUACUCCAAAGAAAAGUGCACGAGCCACCGUAACAACCCUUGGAUGAAUUGUGCUAUUUUCCCCCUGUGGGAACACCAUGGUUCAGAGUAGACUUACCGCAAACGCAAAGGCUCUCAUCUCCUUCCAUUUUUCUUUGGACUCAAAUUUAUGUCCAAAUUUGUGGAAGGCAUUAAAUCUUCCAAAUCGACGAUACAACUCCCAAAAAGUGAUAUUUGCUCCAUCACAUUCCCCUAGCUAGGUGUCGUCAUCAGUUAAAAAUGCCUCUUUGAUUGUUUGACGGUCCCAUACGGCAGGAACUAAAAUGUUCUUAUCAGUUUUUUACUAUCUCUUGAAACACAUUUCAAUACUCUCAUAGCAAAUUAACACUUCUUCAAUGGUAGAAGUCAAUUCCACAUCCCCGAAGCGAAACACCAUAUUCUGAUCAUCCCAAAAAGUGGUAAGCACGUGGAUCAUUUCGGGCCAAACAUCCAUUUCGAUCAAUGAAGGCAGGUGUCCGAUGUGUGUUCUAACAAUUUUUCUCUCUUCUGCGCUCAUAUAGUCCCACCAUAGUUUCAGGUAAUCGUCGGGUUUAGUAACCAUCUUGAACUUCUCGCGGGAAUGCGAUUGAUCCAUAUCUACACGAAAGCAAACAAAGAUGAGCCUUCCCCCAUCCCCCAAAGGGUAAUGGAUUAAAUUAGACAAGCAUAUAUUUCUUCAACACAUAAAUAUGAUUCGUCUGUAAUUGACUCGAGGUCAAUAGACACAGGACAGGUUUUCUAAUGGGCCCAAUACCCCGCUCGGGUAUUGGGUCGUCCUAGGCUCAUGUCUGAAAUAGGGUUUUGGUUUCGCUCUAUCCUAGGUACCUAGAGUGGGUUUGAACACUGGUUCUCAAGCGGACAACUUGAGUUUGAAAAUAUAAACAGCCAUCAGACGACUCACGUGCUAAUAAACUAUUUGUAUUUCCAACAGAUUUUUGGAAUUGAUCAAUAAGGGUCGGGAUACCCACGAAACCCCAAAAUAGUUUAUAUAAUACAGGAAUAUGCCAUGAGUGCGAUAGUUAAACUUUACAGAAUUGAAAUAUAUAAACACAUAAACAUUUAAUCAAAAGACGAAAUCAAACAUUUGAUUAGAACCUAGUUUGAAAAAUCCCCAGUAGAGUCGCCAUUUCUGUUUUGCGAAGAAAUUUUGACUUUUGAAAGAGAGUCGCCACUUAAUUUUGAAAAGGAAUUAAGAAACCUUUAGAGAGUUACUUCAAACGAUCCAAAAUAGAAAAAUCAUUUAAGUUAAGAGAUUUUGAGUAAGCGGUUCUUAUUAACGUUUUAGGAAGGUGUUAGACACCUAAAAUGUCCGCUAACUUGCGGUUAUCCGGACUGUUUGAAAAUCGUCUUUGAUUAACUUCUAAAAGAUUAAUUUGUUGAAAAGUGAUUAGUUUUUAGAAAGGAUUUGUGUAAAACAAUUUUAGGCGACUUAAUAAGGAUUUUAACUAAGUCUACACAAAUGAAAUAAACAAGUAAACACAUAAACGGGGAAAGGGAGGAGAAAGUAAAUGAUUUAGGCCAUUGAGCCCAAACUAACAAAACCUGUCCUAAUCUAAUUGGGCCUUUGACUCGUUUCACCUGUUCUAAUCUAGUUUUCAAGCCCUUGGCUCGAGUCUCGCUCCACCUGCAUUAAGUACAACUUUGUCUUCGAGGCCGAAAUAAAUAAUUAAAGAAAUACAUAAAUAAAUACGGCAACCAUAAAUAAAUAACGAUGACAAAUGAAUAAAUAGAAAUGAGACUCGGGUCUCGUCAUCGCUUCAAGAAUGAGACUUUAAUCCGUUUUCCUUAUCUCAACUCCUUCUGUCCAUAUGCUAUGUGAUCGGCUUUCAAAGUCUUCUAGAAAGUGGGCCUCAAUGGCCUGUUGCGUAAUGCAAGAAAAAGGAGUCUGAUUGGACUCCCGAGUGAGUUCAUGCAAAGAAGAAAAAAAGUGAAGAAAUUAGUACCUAUUCAAGUGAUACAAAAGGCAAAACUUGUCUUCCUAACAUAACAUAAAUAUUAACUCAUGUGAUAAGAAAGAAAGUAAGAACUAAGCCAUCGGGUUCCUACUAAGGCAACAUUAGUGGUGAUUCAGCACCCAAAUUAUGGCAGAUAAGAAACAUGGCAAGAAGAAAUCGAUAAGAUGAGUAAAUGGUGCGAUGAAUAAUAAUAAAAAUAAUAAGAGGAACAAAAAUUAGAUCAUAGACAGAAGGAUACCGGGAAAGAAAACUGCAACUGAAGAAAUGAGUUUGAACAAUUUUUCAAUUAACAAAAGACAAAACUUCGACCACCAAAGAAAUGCAAAGAUUUAACAAAAUUAUAGAACUGCACCAAGGAAAAUUCCACCAAAGUUUUCUUAAAGGUAACUAAGGAACUAGAACACGUGUUACAAAUUGACACUUAUUGUCACCAUUACUAUUAUUAUUAUUUGAAACAAAAUUAUCAAGAGAAUUUGAGAACUUGCAUGUAAACUAGAAAGUCAUUGAUAGUACAAACUAAAAAAAAUCGUCCUUUACCCACACGAAGAUCAUGUAUACUGAGUCAAAGCUGAGUGAGAAGACAAAAUUUGCACAUAACAUAUGGGAAAUGUAAUCAAUAAAUCAAAUUGAAGGUCGUAGGGUCUCCCAAUAUUGGAAAAUAAAAGUAAUAUCAAUCAAGGUUUGAGCAAACUAGCAACAAAAUGGAAGGAGGACCACAUUGAUGUUCGACAGACAAUGGUAAGGGUCAACACAAACUUUCUAGUUUUGCCGUGCACAACUAAUUAUUUCAACAUUAAAAUCUCAUAGCCAAAUAGGAUUUUUACAGAAAAGUCACGCGAACACUUUAUUAGGGUGAUUUGGGUAAAAGAAACCAUUUUAUUUCUCUAUAUGAUUAAACGUGUCAAUCUAUAAUCUAUUGGUCAUUAAAAAUCCGACCUCACACCAUGCCUGGGUAUGCAAUCCAUUAAUACACUAUGAGCGUUGAAUCGGAGAAGUAGGCAAACUAUUUCCUAGCAUGUAAUCACUUAGAUAAACUUGGAGACAUUUAGACAAGGCACGAGCAAAAGUCCAAAUGGAAAACUUUCGUCAUACUAUGACAAAAUGGGCUGGCCAACUACAACAAAGCGCCAUAAAUCUGAAUGGUCAAAGCAUGAAACUUUAACAUAAAAUCAACCACAACAAGAUAUCAUCAACCCAAAAAAAAUAUUAAAUUAAAUCAAAGCAUGGAACUAUACCAGUUGAUUCAAAACAUCAUUAGCCCAAAACUGUUAAACAAUAUUCAAAGCAAGAAACUUUACUGCGAAACCAGCUUAUCAAGAUAUUAGCAGCCCGAAACGAAAUAAAAACAUGGUAAUUUAUUCAUGAUACUGGAAUUCAAGAUACAGGCAGUAGUUAACAAUAUCAAGAUUAAAUGACAAAAUUGAUGUCGAGGCAGAGAUAACAGAAAUCACCCAUCAAAUGACUCAAAACGAGCAUUAAUCCAACAUAACAAUAAUCCAACACUUGCUUCAUUCAAAGAAACCUAUAUCCUUUAAGGCCUCUAUAGCAAACAACCCAACCUCAUUCACCGAUAAACAAAUAACGACUUCUAAGAAGAAACAGGGUUUAAGAAUAAAACAAUAAAUUAAAAGAGGCGAGGGUAAGUUUACCUCCUUCGUGGCAGAAAAAUGGGACGACGAGCAAUCAGCAGAAAUGUUACCACUGGGAUUUGAGGUUAUCUACUCAGGAAUUUCUAAUUGAUCGACCAGCUUCCCAAAAAGGAAGAACGAAAGAGGAAUUUUUCACAGUUUAGACCCCGCUGUUCGAACCAAACUCUCAAAAAUUCUUCAAUUUUUUUGGGGAACCCUAGAAUUUCUAACCUUCAUUUUUUUCUCCCCAUAGAAAUUUCAAAGCCUAAAAUCUCUCAGAAACAAAAUUUGAAACUCCCAUAGUUUUUCUAAAUACAAAUUCUUUCUCCGUUUUUCUUCCCAAAAACCCUAAAAUUGCUAACCCUCCUAUCUCGAUCCCCCUUUUUCCUGCUUUUAGAAGAACUAUUCCCAAAUAACCCAGAAGGAAAAAAAGAGAGAAAACCCUAAAAAAAAUCCCCCCAAAAAUAGUGACCCAAGAGGUCUUUUAUAGAUGAGACAAUUGGUGGGCAUUUUGGGACUUAAACCGUAGGAUAUUUGGAAUUUAAAAUUCCCCAUUCCCCCUCCAGUUUGAGAUUUUAUCAAAAAACAUAUCCAUUUUUGGAUUAUCCUCCCCCGAAAUUGAAAUGGUGGACCAAUACCAUUUGAGCAAAAUGAAUUAUCUCCCCCAACCAAUAGAAAUUAACCAAAUACAUACUAGAUUAAUACAAUUAUCCCAAAAUUUGUAGAAUUGAAACGUUGAGAGGCCAUAUUUGCCCUGUUCUAGAAGAUUCGAGCAUCCUCUUCAUACAAAUUAGCUGGGGGCGCAUGUGACGCGUAACAGAGAAAAAAAUGGGUUAAUUUUGGUCACUGGGUUUGCGGGUAUGGGUCGGAUUGAUGGGUCCUUGUUGCUGUUGUCGAUCAAUAUUGUUGAGGCAUGUUGAAGGCUUGUUGUAUACAUAUUUUGUACGCGUUGUUGUUGUUUGCUGUUAUGUUAAAGAAAGAGCAAGAGAUGGGCUGGGUUGUUUUUGGUUGGAGUGGGCUUGGGGUCACUGAAUGUUGUUGGGCCGUGUAUUAAUUAUUGUUAUAGUUGGCUGGUGGUCGGCCCAAAAAUAAAAAGGGCUGCUGGUGGAUGGUUUGCUUUUGGGCCUGGGUAUUGGGUUUCAAUUUGGGUCAAAUGAGUAGAGGAUUUCGAGAAUUAGGAUUCUGAUUUUGGAUUACAAUUUAGGCAAUCAAAUUUAAAUUCUAGCCAAAUUGAAUACCAAUUGGUCCAUUGCAUUUACAAUUGGGGCCAAUUUGAUUUCAAUUAGAGUCAAAUUUGAUAAAUUGACAAAAUCAAAUCAAAAUUCAAUACGAAUUAACACCUUGUUUAAUCCUGAGCUUCUUGAUUUAAUAAAAUCAAACAUAUAUUUAUCCAAAUAAAUUAUUUUUGAGAUUAAAUCAAGACUUCAACCAUUUAUUUCAAGAUGAACCUUGAUUAAAUCCCGAUAUUUCAUAAAAUAAAUACUUAAGGAACAACAUUAUAUAAUCUUGUAUAACUGAACAUGAAAAUAUUUAAUUGCUACUUAAACUGACCAAUUUACCCAAAUAAAUACUUUGAAAAUCCUUUAUUUGGAUAAUCUUGCGCAUUAUUUGAUGUUGGAUACGAGGUGACUUACAGAUAUCCUUUGAAUUUCUAGCUUUUAGGUAAUUCUGUACAUUAUCCGACUUUAGAUAAGAGAUGGCUUACAGAUAUCCCUCCAAUCACUAGCUUUCAGGUGUUCCUGCACAUCAUCCAACCUUGGAUACAAUGUGACUUAUAGAUAAUUCCUCAAAUUGUUAGUCUUUGGGUAAUCCUGCACAUAAUCGAUCUUAGAUAUGACACUGAUUAUAGAGAACCCUUUGACGUACCAAUUUGAUAAUCUUGCAUAUUCUCUGGUAAGAAUUUAGUUGCGACUUAUGGAUAACCUUUGAACUAUCGACUUUUGGGUGAUCUUGCACACUAUCCGAUUAGGAUGUUGUCGUGGCUUACGGAUGACCUACAGGCUAUCAACUCAUAGGUGAUAUUGCACACUAUUCUGUUUUAAAUAAUAUGACUUAUAGAUGACCCUCAAAUUAUCAAAUUCCAGGAAACCUUAUAUAUCAUUCAUCCUUAGAUAAUAACUUAAAGGCGUUCCUUCAAAUCGUGUGCUCUCGAUGUAUUUAGAUAUUGAUUCAUGAAAAGAUGAUGAUAUCCUCGAUGCCAGCAUUGUGUCUAGCGUGUCAAUAGAUAUAUUAAAUGCUGAUGAUCUCCUCGACGCCAGCGUUGUGUCUAGCGCAUCAACAGAUAUUAAAUAAUGUUGAUAUCCUCGACGCCAGCGUUUCUAUCUAGCGCGUUCAUAGCUAUUGAAUGCCUUCUAGGAUGAUGGUAUGAGAUGGCCUUUGCGGUAAUGAUAUGCGAUUGACCUGGCAGCAAUGAUAUGUAAAGGCCUUUGCGGAAAUAAUAUGUAAUAGCCUUUGCGGCAAUGAUAUGCAAUGGCCCUUGCGGCAAUGAUAUAUAAUGGACUUCGCGGCAAUAAUAUAUAAUGGCCUUUGCGACAAUGAUAUGUAAUAGCCUUUGCGGCAAUGAUAUGUAAUGACCUUUGUGGCAAUGAUAUGCAAUGGACUUUGCAACAAUGAUAUGUAAUGGCCUUUUCGGCAAUGAUAAAAUAAUUUUACCUGGCUUCAUUCGUCAGUGUCCUACUUUCUACAUGUACCUGUACUCAAGGUAGACGAUUAGUAAACACAAAGUCGCUUUUACUAGCGACAAUUUUUAGGAAACUUCUAAAUAUGAUACGUGUAAAGAAGACAAAGUGCUUUUGUUUGUCGCCUACGAUCUCAAGAAAUGAGAUGGACAAAUCAAAAGGUCCUCAAUAAAUAGGCAUUAAACCUAUUUUUAGGGCUAUCCUAAAAUACCGUUCUUGGGUAUUAAUGCUUUAUUGUGGCUCCGACUUUGCUCGGAGAUUUUUGAAAGAGACCCUCAUUUUGUAUAAUGAACCCUACAUCCACUAAAAAUGAUUAGUUUGAAUAAAUUACUCCGUGUUGACCUUCUUCGAUCCUUGAUUUUCUCCUUGCCAUUUCUUGGGCAUUCCACCAUAUCGGGACUUCCACCUUGAUACUCCAUCCCAAAUGAUAUCUAGGCAAGUAUUAAAUAAGUUAGUCGUAAGAUUUUUGAAAAUAGUCUUAAAUUUUUGAAAAUAAUUUUGAAAACUUCUAUAAAACUUUAGAAAAUCUCUGCCAGCCAUGUCAUGUACUAGCUCAACGAACGUCUUCUUUGUGGUUUUGACUAUGUCCGAUGGAUGGUUUCCAAAACUCAUGAUCAUUGUUGGAGGACUUCUUCAAGUAGUUCUAUCAUAGCAAAAAAUUUAGUCUACCUAGACUUUGUUACAGUUGGUGGCUUCCAAAGCUUGACUUUAACCUCUGGUGCUGGGAAAUUUGGAAUAUGUUCCGGCAUUUGGUGAAAAUUUUGAGGUCUUCCUCAAAAUUUCUGCCCCAGUUUAAAGUUGUUUGAGAUGAUACCAAUCCGAGUGGAUCUGAAGUCUUUGCUGAUCGUCAUUCUCUUUAUUGGAUGUCGAUCUUCUUUUAUGAAUUUUUGAGAUUCCUUCUCGAAAAUUUUGCCCCAGUUUCCAUUUCCUGGGGUUAUAUGACCGAGCCAUUGGGGCACCUACGUAUCCCGUUGAAGCAGGAAUCAGGUCAAACGUAUCUCAGGACUACGCUAGGGAUAUACAAAAGAAAUUAAUGGGUUGACCGAAGCCGACAUAGGCCGCCUACGUAUACCUUUUAUUGGGAAUUCAGGUCAUCAUGUAGUUCAUACAUAAGAAGGAAAUGAUGAAUCGUCCUAAGGGGUUGAUCGAAGCCGACAUAGGUCGCCUACGUAUCCCAUUCUUGGGAAUUCAGGUCAAACGUAGUUCGUACAUAAAGGGAAAGGGACUCUAGGCAGUUGCGCACUAGAGAACAACAUUAUUACAAAAGAGAUUACAAGUAAAUUAAGGAAAAACAAAAAUUGGACCGUCUUUUAAACCUAGUAUCUCUUUACCGUAUCAGAAUUGAUUGGUUUGGUCCAUUCUUGGCCAUCCAUCUCAGACAAAAUCAGAGCUCUUCCAGAUAGUACCUUAUGAACUAGGUACGGCCCUUGCCAAUUUGGAGCGAACUUACCCUUGUACUCCUCUUGGUGAGGGAAUAUUCAUUUGAGAACCAGUUGCCCUACUUCAAACGUUUGAGCUCUCACCUUCUUGUUAAAGGAAUGAACCAUCCUGUGUUGAUACAGCUGGCCAUGACAAAUAGCAACCAUUCUCUUUUCAUCAAUCAACAUAAGUUGUUCAUAGCGAGUGUGUACCCAUUUUUCGUUACUCAAUCCAGCUUCCUGAAUAAUCCUUAGGGAGGGUAUUUCAACCUCAGCAGGUAUCACAGCUUCAUUCCCGUAAACCAGUAAAUAGGGAGUCACCCUGGUGGAGGUUUGAAAAAUUGUACGAUAUCCCAGCAAAGCAUAAGGUAACAUCUCAUGCCAUGAUCUAUCAUUUUCAACCAUCUUUCUCAAGAUCUUCUUGAUAUUCUUGUUGGCAGUUUCCACGGCUCAGUUCAUUUAGGGAUGAUAUGCAGUCGAGUUGCGAUGCACGAUUUUGAACUGAUCACAAAUUUCAUUCAUCAAGUGAUUGUUCAAGUUUGCCCCAUUAUUGGUAAUGAUUGAUUCUGGCACUCUAAAUCGGCAAAUCAAGUUACUCCUGAUGAAAUCUGCAACCACUUUCUUAGUGACGGCUCUGUAUAAAGCAGCUUCAACCCACUUAGUAAAGUAAUUGAUGGCAACCAAAAUAAACCUAUGCCCAUUCGAUGUUGAUGGCUUUAUUGGUCUGAUAACGUCCAUGCCCCAAGCUACGAAGGGCCAAGGUGAAUUCAUUGCAUGAAGCUCAUGUGGAGGCAUUCGAAUCAAAUCUCCGUGUAUUUGACAUUUUGGAUAUUUCUGCACAUACCUGCUACAAUCAUUCUCCAUAGUCAUCCAAAAGUAACCGGUCCUCAGGAUCUUUCUAUCAAGGGCAAAUCCAUUUAUGUGAGGCCCGCAAACUCCAGCGUGUACUUCUUUUAUCAAUUUAUUGGCUUCCGUAGCGUCGACACAUCUCAAGAAUCCUAAGUCUGGAGUCCUUCUAAAAAGGAUUUCCCCACUUGGAAAAUAGUUCUUCGCUAGCCGCCGAAUUGUCUUCUUUUGAUUGUUACUGGCCUCUUCGGGAUAUAUUCCAGAUUCUAAAUACCUCUUUAUAUCAUGGUACCAAGUCUUUCCAUCAGGCUCCUCUUCAACGUGUGUGCAGUGCGCGGGUUGCUCCUUCAAUCUUAUUUCCAAAGGAUCAAUGUAACUCUGAUCUGGGUGCUGAAUCAUGAAAGAUAUAGUGGCCAAAGUAUCAGCAAACUCAUUUUGUAUCCGUGGGAUAUGUCUAAAAUCAACUUCUUUAAAUCUUUCACAUAAUUCUUGGACCAGCUCUAUGUAAGGAGUAAUCUUGGAAUUUUUUACCGCCCAUUCUCCCCGUACCUGGUGAAUCAGCAAAUCUGAAUCCCCGAUGACUAACAAUUUGCGAACACCUAUAUCAAGUGCCAAUUUGAGACCCAAGAUGCAAGCCUCAUAUUCAGCCAUGUUAUUGGUGCAGGGGAAACACAGCUUUGCAGUUACCGAAUAAUAUUGGCCCGUUUCUGACACCAAAAUUGCUCUGAUUCCUGAACCUUUAAAGUUGACCGCCCCAUCAAAGAAUAGCCUCCAUCCAGGGUAAAUUUUUGUGAUAUCUUCCCCUACGAACAAAAUAUCCUCAUUUGGGAAGUAAGUUCGAAGUGGCUCGUAUUCCUCAUCAACCGGAUUUUUUGCAAAAUGAUUUGCUAAAGCUUGCCCCUUGAUUGUCUUUUGGGUUACGUACACAAUGUCAAACUCACUUAGCAACAUUUACCACUUGGCUAAAUUUCCUGUAGGCAUGGCCUUCUGAAAUAUAUACUUUAAUGGAUCCAUUCUCGAGAUGAGGUAUGUUGUGUAGGACGACAGAUAAUGCCUCAACUUUUGUGCUGCCCAAGUCAAAGCACAACAUGUCCUUUCUACAAGAGUGUAACGGGCUUCAUAUGGCGUGAACUUUUUACUCAAGUAGUAAAUAGCUUUCUCUUUCCUGUCGGUCUCAUCAUGUUGCCCAAGGACACAUACGAAAGCAUUUUCUGUGACUGACAGGUAAAGCAGCAAUGGAAUUCCUUCUCUUGGCAGUACUAAAAUCGGCGAUGCAGAUAAAUAUUCCUUGAUGCGGUCAAAAUCUCUCUGACAUUCUUCUGUCCACUCAUUCAAUGAUUUUUUCUUCAGCAUCUUGAGAAUUGGAUCGCAUAUGAUUGUCAACUGAGCGAUAAAUCGACUAAUGUAAUUCAAACAACCCAUGAAACUCAUAACUUCCUUCUUGGUUCUCGACGGUGGAAAGUCCUUAAUUGUCUUGAUUUUGGAUGGUUUUAACUCGAUGCCUCUUCUGCUGACUAUGAACCCCAGCAACUUCCCUGAUGGCACACCGAAAGCACACUUAGAAGGGUUUAACUUCAAACUGUACUUUCUUAAUCUAUUAAAGAAUUUUUCUAGAUGGGUCAGAUGAUCCAAACUCUUGCGGGAUUUGAUAAUUACGUCAUCCAUGUCUACCUCAAUCUCUUUAUGGAUCAUAUCAUGGAAAAUGGUCGUCAUAGCCCUCAUAUAUGUGGCACCCGCAUUCUUGAGACCAAACGGCAUUACCCUAUAAUGAUAGACACCCCCAAAGCAUAAUAAAAGACGUUUUUUCUAUAUCUUUAUCAUCCAUCAAUAUCUGAUGAUAGCCAGCAAAACAAUUAACAAAAGAACGCAUUUCAUGCCUUGCAUAAUUAUCAAUGAGGAUAUGAAUGUUAGGCAAUGAAAAAUUAUCUUUAGGACUGGCUCUAUUCAAGUCUCUGUAGUCAACACAAAUGCGAAUCUUGCCAUCCUUCUUUGGCAUGGGGACGAUGUUGUCUAACCACGUUGGAUACUUUGUGACCUCUACUACCUUGGACUGGAUUUGUUUCGUCACUUCUUCCUUGAUCUUUAGACUUAAGUCUGGCUUGAACUUCCAUAUUUUUUGCUUGACUGGAUCAAACUCAGAAUUUAUCGGCAACUUAUCUAACACAAUGUUGGUGCUCAACCCUGGCAUAUCAUCAUAGGACCAAGCAAACACGUCAAUAUAUUCCCACAAUAGGUGAAUGAGCUCUCUCUUUUGUGCUUCCGCUAGGUGGACACUGACCCUUGUUUCUUUGGUUUCAUCAUGAUCUCUGAGGUUGACUAUUUUAGUUUCCUCCAGGUUGGGUUUUUUUCGAUUCUCAAACUCCUCCAUAUCUUCAACUAAUUAUUUCUCAUCACCGUCCUUCCAAUCAUCAUCAUUCCCUUUAUUUUGUUUGUUUAAACUUUGACAUGACAUAACAUUGGCAGAUUUUAAGUUGCUGUUACUGUAAGGGACAAACAAACCAAGUUAGAUGAUGACAAAAUAGUAACAAAAUAUAUGACCAGGAGUAUUUUAGAAAUAAUAGAAUUUUCUAAAAAAAUGAAGGUCUUUUCAUUGAAAUUUGAGAGAUAAUUACAAACCAUGGCUCAUGACUUAAGCAGAUACAAAUCUAUGCCUUUUUGAAAGCAGUAAAAUAUGAAAAGAGAGUUUUGAGAUAUAAAAGGUGGAUCACGGGGCCUCCGUCGGAUCAUCACCAAUUUUAAAAUUAUUAGUAAUUGCCCUUUCAUCUACCACGACGGGCGAUGGGUUAUGAGUGGAGUAGAGGUCCAAUUUUGCAAGGCCUCCCCUGCUGCCAUCUUCUUCAACCCACUGGAUUUUGGGAAAUCUUCUGAUACAACAUUGCAUCCCUCGAACAAAUCUCCUAUCCCAUCCCAAAGACCAUCAUCAUCUGACACCUCUCGUACAGGAAAUAACUAGAACAGGAGUGACAAGGGCCCAAAUAAACUUUUCUCUGACUCAUCCUCAACCCUAUCCUUCCUGGUAGGUUGAUAUCCUAACCCAUACUUAGAGCUUCUCUCUGGGAUCGCAAUAGGCUCGACAAUUCCUUGUAAAUUCUUGCCCAAACCUCGACCAGAUUUGAACCCAUUUCUUAACAUCACCAUUGCAAUCAUUUUGUAGACAGAAGGCAUUGGUACUUUGAGUGUCAAAUCCCUGUCCACAGCUUUGACAAUUUCUACUGUAUAGAAACUGUAACCUUUUGGAACAUCUUUAAUCACUGGCACAUAACCAUUGGGACGAUCCACUCAACUUCCUUCUCCUUGGAUGACUACUUCAUGAUCCUCCCAAAUGAAGUUCAAUAAUUGAUAAAGGGGUGAUGAAACUACCUUUACGUCGUGUAUCCAUGGUCUUCCCAAAAGCAGGUUAUAGCUAGGAUGGAUAUUCAUAACAUGAAACUUAGUCUUAAACUCAACAGGCCCCAUUUGGAUGUGUAAAUCAAUCUCUCCUAUGGUAUCUCUCUGCCCUCCAUCGAAUGCUCUCACAUUUAGGUGGCUUUGAUAAAUUUUUCCCAAAUCAUAGCCCAUUUGAACCAACAUGGAGAGGGGAUAAAUAUUCACACCAGAUCCUUCGUCUAUUAAUACCUGAUUAAUUGCAUAAUCUCGACAAAUGAUGGUGACAUGCAUGGCUUUGUUGUGUAUCGCCCCUUCAAACGGCAACUCUUCAUAACUGAAUGAUAUGCGAUGAUUCCCCAUAAUAUUUCCUAUCAUCGCAGCCAGGUUCUCAACACUCAUUUCUACGGGAACAUAUGUUUCAUCCAAAACCUUCGACAAAGCUUGUCGGUGGAAUUGCGAACUCAUUAAUAGUGCCAAAAUAGAGAUUUGGGCUGGUGUCUUCUCUAAAUGUUUAACAAUUGAGUAAUCUUUUGAUUGCAUACGCCUCCAAAAUUCCUCAGUCUCUCCUUCAGUGAUUGGCCUUUUCUAUGGAUCCUUUUUGUUUGUCAAUUUCUCAAGGAUAUAGCAUCGUCCUGACUGCGUCAUCCCUUGGGCGAUAGCGGGCUAUACAAUGAAUUCCUUCCAUGAUGGACAUUGCAUCCCUCGAACAAAUCUCCUAUCCCAUCCCAAAGACCAUCAUCAUCUGACACCUCUCGUACAGGAAAUAACUAGAACAGGAGUGACAAGGGCCCAAAUAAACUUUUCUCUGACUCAUCCUCAACCCUAUCCUUCCUGGUAGGUUGAUAUCCUAACCCAUACUUAGAGCUUCUCUCUGGGAUCGCAAUAGGCUCGACAAUUCCUUGUAAAUUCUUGCCCAAACCUCGACCAGAUUUGAACCCAUUUCUUAACAUCACCAUUGCAAUCAUUUUGUAGACAGAAGGCAUUGGUACUUUGAGUGUCAAAUCCCUGUCCACAGCUUUGACAAUUUCUACUGUAUAGAAACUGUAACCUUUUGGAACAUCUUUAAUCACUGGCACAUAACCAUUGGGACGAUCCACUCAACUUCCUUCUCCUUGGAUGACUACUUCAUGAUCCUCCCAAAUGAAGUUCAAUAAUUGAUAAAGGGGUGAUGAAACUACCUUUACGUCGUGUAUCCAUGGUCUUCCCAAAAGCAGGUUAUAGCUAGGAUGGAUAUUCAUAACAUGAAACUUAGUCUUAAACUCAACAGGCCCCAUUUGGAUGUGUAAAUCAAUCUCUCCUAUGGUAUCUCUCUGCCCUCCAUCGAAUGCUCUCACAUUUAGGUGGCUUUGAUAAAUUUUUCCCAAAUCAUAGCCCAUUUGAACCAACAUGGAGAGGGGAUAAAUAUUCACACCAGAUCCUUCGUCUAUUAAUACCUGAUUAAUUGCAUAAUCUCGACAAAUGAUGGUGACAUGCAUGGCUUUGUUGUGUAUCGCCCCUUCAAACGGCAACUCUUCAUAACUGAAUGAUAUGCGAUGAUUCCCCAUAAUAUUUCCUAUCAUCGCAGCCAGGUUCUCAACACUCAUUUCUACGGGAACAUAUGUUUCAUCCAAAACCUUCGACAAAGCUUGUCGGUGGAAUUGCGAACUCAUUAAUAGUGCCAAAAUAGAGAUUUGGGCUGGUGUCUUCUCUAAAUGUUUAACAAUUGAGUAAUCUUUUGAUUGCAUACGCCUCCAAAAUUCCUCAGUCUCUCCUUCAGUGAUUGGCCUUUUCUAUGGAUCCUUUUUGUUUGUCAAUUUCUCAAGGAUAUAGCAUCGUCCUGACUGCGUCAUCCCUUGGGCGAUAGCGGGCUGUACAAUGAAUUCCUUCCAUGAUGGGGGAGGGUGUGCCUGACUUGAAGCUGUCAUCGCUAUAAAUGGGCCUUUCUCAUUGAUACUUAAAGCAGCCACAACCCUCUCUAUCUUUCCUACUUCUUUUGCCCCUUUGCGCUUUUCGUAGUUCACCUAGGUAAUGGUCUUGCCAGAUGCCCAUUCCCUCUAUUUCAAUCAUGUUAACUGUAGAUCCCCCAUGGUUAGGCAAUGGAUUACUGUUAAUAUUUAAUGUAGGUGCCCGGAGCGUAAUGACCUUCUGAUCGAUUAAAUCCUGGAUCCUAUGUUUCAGGUAGCCACAAUCCUCUAUAUUGUGCCCCGCUGCUCCUGAAUGAUAGGAAUAAUUUUAACUUACAUUAAAAAAUUGAGAGUUGGUAUUGACAUGUCUGGGCAGUAUUGGUUGCAAAUGACCAGCAUUCUUCAAUCUUUCAAACAAUUGGGUACGACUUUCAGCUAGUGGGGUGAAGUUUUAGGGAGGUUUCUUUUCGUGGUUUAGACGUUGGGGGUUGUACUGGCUUUGAUUUGUAGGAGGAGGUACUUGGUGAUAAUUUAGAGGCGCUUAGAAAUUUGUUUGGAUAUUUGGAGGAGUGGAUUGGAAAUAAAACUGAUAAUUUAGAGGUAGAGCUGGGUAUUGGGGAAAUAUAUUUGGUUGUGGAGCUUGGUAUGAGGAUUGGAUGUUUGGGAGUGGAGUUUGGUACUGAGGUUGGGCAUUUGAGAGUGGAGCUUGGUAUGGGGGGUGGGCGUAGAACACAUGCUGAAGGUUGGGUGACGACAGAGAAGAUAAAACAUUUCUAGAGUUGAACAUCUUUUUUAUUUUAGCAACAGGAUUAGCAGAAAUCACACCUACAUCUUAUCUUUUCUUCUUUGAGAAUAUGACAGUCCCAGACGAUGUCGGGAUUUUGGUAAUUUUCCCUGUUCGAAUACCUUCUUCCAAUGAUUCUCCUAUUUUUACCAAAUCUGCAAAAGUUGCCCUGACAGUGGAUACCAUCCUGGUAUAAUAUUCUUCUUCUUGAGGAUGAGAGAACACGGAUACCAUUUCCUCCUCAGACAUGGGGGGGUUGUACUUUAGUGGUUUCUUUCCUCCAACUAAAAUCAUAGUCUCAAAAGCUCUCAAUAUUCCUCUGUUUGAUCCGAUCUACUGAAUAUCAGUCCGGGACUAUUUCAAUGUUGAAUGUGAACCGGUCAAGGAAACCCUUUGCUAAUGCUUUCCAACCAGUCCACCUUUUCGGCUCCUGAGACAUGAACCACUCCAAUAAAUCAGUGCAUCAAUAACGCCUCGUUUAUCCCUAUCCCUACCAGUUGCUCAUAGUACCUUCUUAGAUGGGCCAUUGGCUUUCUGGUACCGUCAAACAUCUCAAACUUAGGGACUUUGUACCCAUCUGGUAGGUCUACUCCUGGGUGAAUACAUAAAUCGUCAUACCCCAAACCGUCGUGGUCCCUGGCUCCAUGAGACUCUUUGAUCCUCAUGAUCUCUUCAUUCAUAGCUAGUAUAUUCCUUUCAUGCUGGGUCCUCCACUCUUUCUCUUUCUCCUCGUAAUGGUCCAUCUCAGGGUUAGGAAGGGGUUCAUAAAUAUCAGGGGAUGUGAUAGCUUGAGCAGGAUUUGGAAGAGAGGCUUGAUUUUGCAGAAAAAAAGAACUUGGUUGGUAAGUGGGGAGGAUAUUUUGGAAAUUGGAAAGGUUCUGUGGACUUUGUGAGUAGUUUGGCGGAAUAUGAGAAGGAUUCUGCGGAUUUGGAAAUGAAUUUGGUGGAUUCAAAGGUAGGUUUGACGUAUUUUAUGGAUUUGGGAGUGAAUCUUGCAGAUUUAGAAAUGCGUUUUGUUGAUUUGAGAAUGUGUUUUGGGAAUUUGGAAAUGGAUUUGAAGACGGGUUCUAUGGGGUUAUAGAUGGAUUUUGUGGAUGGUAGGCGUCUAGGUUAUUUUCACGAUUAGUAGUUUGGACAAAUGGAGGAGCGGAGAUGGAUGAUACGUUAUUUGGCUGAUCCCCGAGAAUAGGUGUGCUGAGGGGAGGGAUUUGGAGUAGAGUCCCGUGUUCUCCAAGAGCGGGGGCAUUGACGGUGAUGGCCAAGUUAUCCAAAUUUCGAGUGCAAUUUAUUUCCUCCUAAAGCAUUUCUAACUUUCUUGCAAGUUUCGCAAUCAUUUCAUUCUGUUCCGCUAUCACAUUAUCCUGGAUAGUCAGUGCGCUUUCUUCGUCAUUUCCUGUCAUUUUUGAAUGAUGGUCAGAGAAUGGGAUUUUAUGCACUUUUGAUCGGGUGAAGUAGGGAUGUUCUGCCAGCUUAUAUUAACACGGAGUAAUUUCUAUUAUCUGUAAAGUAAAACAACUCAAAGGCAGAUAUGUUAGUCUCCGUAUAUGAUAAGUAAUGCAAAAUAUUGGACAGAAAAUAACCACAUAAAGUUGUUUGAGUCAUAGCCAAAUUCAUCCAUAGGACAUAGUGGAUAAACUUGCCUUUGAUCCAAACAAACUCACAUAAUCACAUAAAAUAGUUAUAUCACACAACAGUAUUAUAAUAACGCGUAUCCUAGCUGGGGUGACCCUUUUUGAGCCAAGGGUUCAGGCCUAACGAUUUUUGAAGAAAAUAUAUGCUUCCUCGAAGUCAAUCCAUUUAACCCCAACUUAUAUAGGCACGAAAAAGGGCAUAAAUGCCUACAAAAGAUAACAAAAAAAGGGAUACAAUCUUUAGGGAAAAAGGGAAAUAACAUGAAAAAAGAUAAGUUCCCACGCAGGGGAAAUAGAAAAAUUAGCUACUGGAGGCUCAUUCGUCUGCCUUUGCCUUGUUUACCUCCUGUGCUAUUUGAUACCUAUUAAUGAUAAGAUGACUCCCGCAUAAUUGUGCCUUACAGUCGUAAGUUAUUUUCCCUAUACUAUCGAGUUGGGAGGCCAUGCUAUCAUCCAAAUUGAUUAGACAUUGCCUGGCAUUAUCAGCUUCUUGCCUAGCUCUUUUCAAUUCUUCCCUCAAUAUAGGUAUGGUUAAAGCGUCCUCCAUGUGUAUCUGCCGGUAAGCGAUUUCACUUUUCUGGAACUCAUCUUGUAGCCUGUGGAGUCGAAUUUGAUGCUACGUUUCUACAUCCACAACCUGAGUGGGCACAUUUGGUCCCGAAAUCAAUGCUCCGACGAGACUCUUUUUCAACCACUCCUUAUAAGUAUCGCUGACUUCAGGGUCAUGCUCUAUACGGAAAGUCACUUUCGUUCACCUUCUUCUUCUCCAUCCAUUUACCAUGCUGUCUUUGAGCAGAGACUCACUUUCAUCAUAUUCAGUGAAAAAACUAAGCAUGGAAUCUAUUUGUGGUGCCUCCUACUUGAUCUCGAAUUGCCUAAGUACUCUGCCAGGAUUGUAAGGACGGGUCCCCCUGAGACCGGGAAGCACUAGGAAAGGCCACUUGCCCCCUCGAAUGGUUUAUUUCCCAAAAUGAAGAGAGUUAAUGAACCAUUGCACAUCGCCAUCUCUUAAUUCCCCGAAAGUCUUAAACCAAAAUUCGUGAGAUGCUUCCCUUUUGAACUUGUGUAGAAACAACCACAUGUCGUGCGAAGCCAACAUAUCCACCCUUGUUUUAUGAUCAGGUUGUACCGUUCUCGAAUUCUUUACCAAAUGCUUAAUCAUCCACCAUUGAAAUAUGAGGUUGCAACCUUGAAAGAAGCGAUUUUCGACUUGAAACCUUCCCAAGGCUCGAUAUAUGUCGGCGACAAUCAUGGGAGCUAAAUUGUGGAAUACCUUGGUAGAAUCAUAAUCUACUCCAAAGAAAAGUGCAUGAGCCACCGUAACAACCCUUGGAUGAAUUGUGUCAUUUUCCCCCUGUAGGAACACCAUGGUUCCGAGUAGACCUACCGCAAAUGCAAAGGCUCUCAUCUCAUUCCAUUUUGUUUCGGACUCAAACUUAUGUCCAAAUUUGUAGAAGGCAUUGAAUCUUCCAAACCGAUGAUACAACUCCCGAAAAGUGAUAUUUUUUCCUUCACGUUUCCCUAGCCAGGUGUCGUCGUCAGUUAAAAAUGCCUCUUUAAUUGUUUGACGGUCCCACACGGCAGGAACUAAAAUGUUCUUAUCAGGUUUUUACUAUCUCUUGAAACACAUUUCAAUACUCUCAUAGCAAAUUAACACUUCUUUGAUGGUAGGAGUCAAUUCCAUAUCCCCAAAGCGAAACACCAUAUUCUGAUCAUCCCAAAAAGUGGUAAGUACGUGGAUUAUUUCGGGCCAAGCAUCCAUUUCGAUCAAUGAAGGCAGGUGUCUGAUGUGUGUUCUAAUAAUUUUUCUGUCUUCUACGCUCAUAUAGUCCCACCAUAGUUUCAAGUAAUCGUCGGGUUUAGUAACCAUCUUGAACUUCUCGCGGGAAUGCAAUUGAGCCAUAUCUACACGAAAGCAAACAAAGAUGAGCCUUCCACCGCCCCCCAAAGGGUAAUGGAUUGAAUUAGACAAGCAUAUAUUUCUUCAACACAUAAAUAUGAUUCGUUUGUAAUUGACUCGGGGUCAAUAGACGCAGGACAGGUUUUCUAAUGGGCCCAAUACCCCUCUCGAGUAUUGGGUCGUCCUAGGCUCAUGCCUGAAAUAGGGUUUUGGUUUUGCUCUAUCCUAGGUACCUAGAGUGGGUAUGAACACUAGUUCUUAAGCGGACAACUUGAGUUUGAAAAUACAAACAGCCAUCAGAUGACUCACGUGCUAAUAAACUAUUUGUAUUUCCAACAGAUUUUUGGAACUGAUCAAUAAGGGUCGGGAUACCCACGAAACCCCAAAAUAGUUUAUAUAAUGCAGGAAUAUGCCAUGAGCGUGAUAGUUAAACUUUACAGAAUCGAACAUAUAAACACAUAAACAUUUAAUCAAAAGACGAAAUCAAAUAUUUGGUUAGAACCUAGUUUGAAAAAUCCCCAGCAGAGUCGUCAUUUCUGUUUUGCGGAGAAUUUUUUACUUUAGAAUGAGAGUCGCCACUUAAUUUUGAAAAGAAAUUAAGAAACCUUUACAGAGUUACUUCAAAUGAUCCAAAAUAGAAAAAUCAUUCAAGUUAAGAGAUUCUGAGUAAGCGGUUCUUAUUAACGUUUUAGGAAGGUGUUAGGAACCUAAAACGUCCGCUAACUUGCGGUUAUCCGGACUAUUUGAAAAUCGUCUUUGUUUAACUUCUAAAAGAUUAAUUUGUUGAAAAGUGAUUGGUUUUUAGAAAGGAUUUGUGUAAAACAAUUUUAGGCGACUUAAUAGGGAUUUUAACUAAGUCUACACAAAUGAAAUAAACAAGAAAACACAUAAAUGGGGAAAGGGAGGAGAAACUAAAUGAUUUAGGCCAUUGGGCUCAAACCAACAAAACCUGUCCUAAUCUAAUUGGGCCUUUGACCUGUUUCACCUGUCCUAAUCUAGUUUUUGAGCCUUUGUCUCGAGUCUUGCUCCACCUGCAUUAAGUACAACUUUGGCUUUGAGGCCAAAAUAAGUAAUUAAAGAAAAACAUAAAUAAAUACGACAACCAUAAAUAAUGACGACAAAUGAAUAAAUAGAAAUGAGACUNNNNNNNNNNNNNNNNNNNNNNNNNNNNNNNNNNNNNNNNNNNNNNNNNNNNNNNNNNNNNNNNNNNNNNNNNNNNNNNNNNNNNNNNNNNNNNNNNNNNNNNNNNNNNNNNNNNNNNNNNNNNNNNNNNNNNNNNUGUGAUCGGCUUUCAAAGUCUUCUAGAAAGUGGGCCUCAAUGGCCCGUUGUGUAAUGCAAGGAAAAGGAGUCUGAUUGGACUCCCGAGUGAGUUCAUGCAAAGAAGAAAAAAGUGAAGAAAUUAGUACCUAUUCAAGUGAUACAAAAGGCAAAACCUGUCUUCCUAACAUAACAUAAAUAUUAACUCAUGUGAUAAGAAAGAAAGUAGGAACUAAACCAUCGGGUUCCUACUAAGGCAACAUUAGCUGUGAUUCAACACCUAAAUUAUGGCAGAUAAGAAACAUGGCAAAAAGAAAUCGAUAAGAUGAGUAAAUGGUGCGAUGAAUAAUAAUAAAAAUAAUAACAGGAACAAAAAUUAGAUCAUAGACAGAAGGAUACCGGGAAAGAAAACUGCAACUGAAGAAAUGAGUUUGAACAAUUUUUCAAUUAAGCAAAGUUUUCCAAAAGGUAACUAAGGAACUAGAAUACAUGUUACAAAUUGGUACUUACUGUCACCAUUACUAUUAUUAUUAUUUGAAACAAAAUUAUCAAGAGAAUUUGGGAACUUGCAUGUAAACUAGAAAGUCAUUGAUAUUACAAACUAAAGAAAAUCAUCCUUUACCCACACGAAGAUCAUGUAUACCGAGUCAAAGCUGAGUGAGAAGAUAAAAUUUGCACAUAACAUAUGGGAAACAUAAUCAAUAAAUCAAAUUGAAGGUCAUGGGGUCUCCCAAUAUUGGAAAACAAAAGUAAUAUCAAUCAAGGUUUGAGUAAACUAGCAAAAAAGUAGAAGGAGGGCCACAUUGAUAUUCGACAGAGAAUGGUAAGGGUUAACAUAAACUUUCUAGGUUUGCCGUGCACAACUAAUUAUUUCAACAUUAAAAUCUCAUAGCCAAAUAGGAUUUUUACAGAAAAGUUACGCGAACACUUUAUUAGGGUGAUUUGGGUAAAAGAAACCAUUUUAUUUCUCUAUAUGAUUAAACGUGUCAAUCUGUAAUCUAUUGGUCAUUAAAAAUCCGACCUCACACCAUGCCUGGGUAUGCAAUCCAUUAAUUAACACUAUGAGCGCUAAAUCGGAGAAGUAGGCAAACUAUUUCCUAGCAUGUAAUCACUUAGAUAAACCUAGAGACAUUUACACAAGGCACGGGCAAAAGUCCAAAUGGAAAACUUUUGUCAUACUACGACAAAAUGGGAUGGCCAACUACAACAAAGCACCAUAAAUCUGAAUGGUCAAAGCACGAAACUUUAACAUAAAAUUAGCCACAACAAGAUAUCAUCAACCCAAAAAAAAUAUUAAAUUAACUCAAAGCAUGGAACUUUACCAGUUGAUUCAAAACAUCAUUAGCCCAAAACUGUUAAACAAUAUUCAAAGCAAGAAACUUUACUGCGAAACCAGCUUAUCAAGAUAGUAGCAGCCCAAAACGAAAUAAAAGCAUGAAACUUUAUUCAUGAUACUGGCAUUCAAGACACAGGCAGUAGUUAACAAUAUCAAGAUUAAAUUACAAAAUUGAUGUCGAGGCAGAGAUAACAGAAAUCACCCAUCAAACGACUCAAAACGAGCAUUAAUCCAACGUAACAAUAAUCCAACACUUGCUUCAUUCAAAGAAACCUAUAGCCAUUAAGGCCUCUACAGCAAACAACCCGGCCUUAUUCACCGAUAAACAAAUAACGACUUCUACGAAGAAAGAGGGAUGAAGAAGAAAACGAUAAAUUAAAAGGGGCGAGGGUAACUUUACCUCCUUCAUGGCAGCAAAAUAGGACGAUGAGCUAUCAGCAAAAAUGUUACCGCCGGGAGUUGAGGUUAUCUACUCAGGAAUUUUCGAUUGAUUGACCAGCUUCCCAAAAAGGAAGAACGAAAGAGGAAUUUUUCAUAGUUUUGACCCCGGGCGAGGGUAACUUUACCUCCUUCAUGGCAGCAAAAUAGGACGAUAAGCUAUCAGCAAAAAUGUUACCGCCGGGAGUUGAGGUUAUCUACUCAGGAAUUUUCGAUUGAUCGACCAGCUUCCCAAAAAGGAAGAACGAAAGAGGAAUUUUUCAUAGUUUUGACCCUGCUGUUUGAACCAACCUCUCAAAAAUUCUUUAGUUUUUUUCAGGAACCUUAGAAUUUCUAACCUUCAAUUUUUCCUCCCCAUAGAAAUUUCGAAGCCUAAAAUCUCUCAGAAAGAAAAUUCAAAACUCCCACAGUUUUUCUAAACACAAAUUCUUUCUCCAUUUUUCUUCCCGAAAACCCUAAAAUCGCUAACCCUCCCCCCUUGAUCCACCUUUUUCCUGCUUUUAGGAGAAAUAUUCCCAAAUAACCCAAAAAGAAAAGAAGAGAGAAAACUCCAAAAAAAAUCCCCCCAAAAAUAGUGACCCAAUAGGUCUUUUAUAGAUGAGAGAAUUGGGGGGCAUUUUGGGACUUGAACCGUAGGAUAUUUGGAAUUUGAAAUUCCCCAUUCCCCCUUCAGUUCGAGAUUUUAUCAAUAAAUAUAUCCAUUUUUAGAUUAUCCUCACCCGAAAUUGAAAUGGUGGACCAAUACCAUUUGAGCAAAAUAAAUUCUCUCCCCAAACCAAUAGAAAUUAGCCAAAUAUGUACUAAAUUCGUACCAUUAUCCCAAAAUUCGCGGAAUUGAAAUGUUGAGAGGCCACUUUUACCCUGUUCUAGAAGAUUCGAGCAUCCUCUUCGUACAAAUUAGCUGGGGGGCGCGUGUGACGCGUAACAAAGGAAAAAAAAUGGGUUAAUUUUGGUCACUGGGUUCGCGGGCAUGGGUCGGAUUGAUGGGUCCUUGUUGUUGUUGUCGAUCGAUAUUGUUGAGGCAUGUUGAAGGUUGGUUGUACGCAUAUUUUGUACGUUGUUGUUGUUUGUUGUUAUGUUGAAGAAAGAUUAAGAGAUGGGCCGGGUUGGUUUUGGUUGGAGUGGGCUUGGGGUUACUGAAUGUUGUUGGGCCAUGUAUUAAUUAUUGUUAAAGUUGGCUGGUGAUCGGCCCAAAAAUAGAAAAGGGCUACUGGUGGAUGGUUUGCUUUUGGGCCUGGGUAUUGGGUUUCAAUUUGGGUCAAAUGAGUAGAGGAUUUCGAGAAUUAGGAUUCUGAUUUUGGAUUACAAUUUAGGCAAUCAAAUUUAAAUUCUAGCCAAAUUGAAUACCAAUUGGUCAAUUGCAUUUACAAUUGGGGCUAAUUUGAUUUCAAUUAGAGUUGAAUUUGAUAAAUUGACUAAAUCAAAUCAAAAUUCGAUACGAAUUAACACCUUGUUUAAUCCUGAGCUUCUUAAUUUAAUAAAAUCAAACAUAUAUUUAUCCAAAUAAAUUAUUUUUGAGAUUAAAUCAAGACUCCAACCAUUUAUUUCAAGACGAACCUUGAUUAAAUCCCGAUAUUUCAUAAAAUAAAUACUUAAGUAACAACAUGAUAUAAUCUCGUAUAAUUGAACAUGAUAAUAUAUAAUUGUUACUUAAACUAACCAACUUACCCAAAUAAAUACUUUGAAAAUCCUUUAUUUAGAUAAAAUAAAUGUUGUAGUUUUAUUUGAAAAUUGAAGAAGCUCCGAAUUAAACUUAGUUAUGGAGGGCAAAAAUUAGGGGUCAACACUAAGUAGAGAAGAAGAUCUCCUUGGCUCAAGAGGUGGCUUUAAGUGAUAGGGGAUUUGAACCUAAAGACAACAUAGGAGGGAGGAGGGUCAAAAUAGCAGCUUUUUCACAUUUUUGGCCCAUUUUUCUCAUUUUUCAUCUUAUCUCUUGAGAGUUAACCCUAAAUAUUUUGGUAGCUUAAAAGUGUAGUUUAUGGGAGUUUAGGAAGCUAUAUUAACACCUAUUUCUUGAUUAUAUUAUGGAUUUAAGGUAAGAAUUCACCCUUUUGUUAGUAAUUUCUUCCUUAAUUUCUCAAAACCAGUAAAAAUCUUAGGGCAUGAUUUUAAACCCAAAUUUUAUCCUUUUCACUUGUAUAAUAUUUUUAUCUUGUAAUUACUAGUUUUUCAUCAAUUUAACCUUCAAAACAACUCUGAUUCUUGAUUUUAAUCCGAAUUUCAAGGAUUUUACCCGGUAAAGCUCAAAAAUGGUUUUUCUUUGAUUUGAACCCCGUUUUUCACUCGAUUUAACUUGGGUUUUCAGAUGUAGGUUCCUAAAAAUAUGGGGAAUAUAUUUUUGAAGUAAAUUUUCAAUUUUUACCUUCUUUUCCAGAAACCUAUUUUGGGGGUCCGUUUUGACCUCGAACCAAAAGUAGUCAAUAUGGGUGUCGUUGGUUUUGUUUUGACGCGUAGAUUUCAUAUUUGAUGUUUUUAGUAGAGUUCAGGAUUGUUCAUAAAAAUUAAGAUCGCGGGUUCAAGUAUAGCAGAUUGGUUUCGGCUUUCGAGGUAGGUUAUGGCUUAACUCUUCAGACUGGACUGGAUAGUAAAUGAUGAUACAAAAUGCAUAUUAAGGGUGGAAACUAAUCAUGAAAAAUUGCUAUCAACGUGUUGUGCCCAUGUGGGGGCCUAUAUGUGAUGUAAUUGUCGAAAUUGAAAUAUUAUGUGAUAUGUUUGAUCAUGUGGGGUCUUAUGUGACAUUAAUAGCCUUGAAUACAUGUGAGUAAUUGUAUUGUAUUAUUUAAUAUGGUACCAUGGGUGUAUUGUGAUUAUAUUCAUACUUUACUGGCAUAUGAGAUAUGUGGAAAUUCAUGGAUAAAAUAAAAAUAACGAGUGAAUAUUGGCUCAUGUGGUUGUGGAAAUGUAUCAUUGUGGUUGGUUGUGAUCAUUACAUCUUCAUAUCAUACUCUUUCAUGAAACAUUGGUACCACCGUGACAACGUCUAAGAAACACUGGCAACACCUUUUUAAAAAUAUUGUAACACCUUAUAAAACCCUUUCUGAGGGAUGUACUGGAAAGGAGAUAUGAAAUAUAUGGAUUGUAUAUGGGUUGACGAACCCCCCAUGGGUCCUACAUCGGGAAGAUUUGGCUCCAUAGGUGUAUACGAAGAUUAUGCGAUGAUCCCGGAGGUUGUGCAACAACCUCGUGCAUCAUCAUCAUCAUCAUCAUCAUCAUCAUAUAUAUAUANNNNNNNNNNNNNNNNNNNNNNNNNNNNNNNNNNNNNNNNNNNNNNNNNNNNNNNNNNNNNNNNNNNNNNNNNNNNNNNNNNNNNNNNNNNNNNNNNNNNNNNNNNNNNNNNNNNNNNNNNNNNNNNNNNNNNNNNNNNNNNNNNNNNNNNNNNNNNNNNNNNUUAGUGCAAGCGGUGUGGGCUACCAUUGUGGGACAUUUUCUGAUUGCAGGUGACGUGCCCUUAGUGUAUAUUUUGUAUGCCUUAUUUACUACUUUGCUUAGUCGGCCUAUGAUACCUACUGAGUAGAAGUGGACCGUACUCAUGCCUACUGCACCCUUUCAGUGAAGGUCCUAGCUCGAGUGCGCCUCAGCUUACUUGAUUCGGGUGGUUGUUAGAGCUUCCAAGGUAGUGAUUGGACAUUCAUGUGUCUGAAGUUCACCUCUAUCUUUCUAUACUAUUUAUGUCCUUAUUAGUUCUCGGAGACAGUUAUUAUUUCUUUGUGGUUUUUUUUUCGAUGUAUUUGACUCUUGGAUUGUAUUAGUAGUUCUUACACUACUGACACAUGGUUUUGGGCUUGAUUGGUGUUUUGGAUAAGUUCUUUCCGUAUUGUUAUGAGUAUUUAUAUGGUUCGGCUUCAUUCUAGAAGCCUUACCUUGGGUAUUUCUGUCUUUUUCUCUAUUCGUAUCAGUUUGGGUGAUAGGCUUACUUGUCAAGGUACGCCACGACAAGUGUCAUCAUGACCCUCGUUUUUGGAUUGUGACAAUAUUCAACAUUGGAACUUCUAAACUCAGGUAGGUUAGCAGAUAGUGAGACCAAAGACAAAAAUACUAACCUUAUUGCAUAAGUACCAGUUUAAGGGAAAGUGUCAUUUUAAUAUUGCCUCUUGGCUAAUGCUGCCAAUUAUGUAAAUUAAAGGAGUAAGUUUUUCCUGCCAUAAUCAAACUCUGCUAGUAGUAUGCAGGUGCAAGUUAUGCAUGCCUCAAUGCUUUACUAGAAUGGUAACAAUUAAAAAAGAUUCAUUAUAUUCUUCACACUUGAAAUUGAAUGAAUUUUUUUUUCAAAUAUUCCUUUUUCCUAUUAGAACAGUUAAAAUAUAAAAUGUUUUAAACAUUGGCUGAAUUUUAGAGGCUGUUUGUCCAUAGAAAUUAUUCACAUUUUUUCGGAAUUUUUUUUCAUUUUAUAGGAUUCAUGGUGUUUGACCAUAGAUAUUCCAAAAACAACUCCAAAAUUGUUUUCUGAAAAGUGAAAACAGCUUUUUGUUGUUUUCACUUUUUUCCAAUUCUAAUUCCAACUUUUAUUCUUAUUACAUAAAACCCCAAUUUUUUUAAUAUUACACAAAAAGUCCUUAUUAACUGCACAACCAUAAACAAUUGCCAACUACCCUCUCGUGAUGUUUUUUUCAGAAUUCAUGAAUAAUUGCUUCAACGUUUUACUUGUGGGGAUCAUUAACUGAAGUAUAUGGUUUGAAAACCAACUCAUCAUUCGUUUAUUGUCCUCUUAUUAUACUUUUUUUUGGUUUGCCUGUUAUUUUAAGCGCGUAUGAUUACUUCAAUGUCAAAUACUAUUAUUUUUAUAUCUCUUACACUUACUAUAUAAUCGUCUUUGCAGGGUGAUAAUCGUUUAUUCAUCCAUAUAACAUUAUGAAUUAAUACACCUACAGAACUUGUGAAUACUGAAGCGAACGUACAUUAAUGUAAUGUCAUGAUGCGUUAGGCAAUUCUGGAGCAAUGAGUUGAGCUUUUUGAGGACCUCCUUGUGCAUGUUGAUGGAUCACGACAACAGGUAUCGAGAAAUAGUUGACCAAUAUGUUUUUAUCGCGUACCUGUACAUACAUUUGCAAUAUAGUUUCGACCGUGUUUUCUUUGGAUUGUAUAGUGUUGGAUUUGCAGAAGUUAGAUCCUAAGAUGAGUUUGUUUCAUGUAUUAUUCACAUUAAUCUCUUCAUGUUUGUUUUUAGUCGUGGUUAACACUUUGAUAAACAUGACACUAGCUUGGGAAGAUGAGAAACAGAAGUUGUUUAGUAAGAUUUUUAAGCCAAAAGACAGAUAUAUUUUCAUUAUUUGUAGUUAUGUUUUCAUUUUUAAGGUCAGGACCCCUUUCAUCAUUGAUGUGAAAUUCUGUCUAUUCACGAGUAUAAUCAGUAGAUAAAUUAGUUGGACAAUUUUGAUAGUUUUAAAAAGUUUGGGGCAUAAAAUUAAAUUUAAAAAAGACUUUUCAAAAGUCUAAAAACAUCUGUAAAAAAUACAUAGCCAGCUCCAACUCCAACUCCAACUUCAACUUCAACUUUAAUUUUUUUUAGUUUUUAUGGCCAAACGCCUUCUUAAUUAGCGAUCUAAAAAGUGGUUAUGUGUCACUCUCCCUGAUCUGCCCCCAAAUAUAUCACUUAAGUUCAAUUUCACUAUUGGGUCACGUUUGAUUAGUGAGAUAAGGAUAAUAAUCUUAGGAUAUUUCAUAAAAAAAAAUAUUUUGUAUUUAAUGAGUAUUGUUUAGUCUAAAGAUCAUUUUAUCCCAUUAUCUAUAUAUAUAAUAAAGCAAAGAAGUUUGCAUAAAAUUAUGCCAAGUGGAUAUUGAGAACUAACCACUUGGUAUUUUGGCGACAAAAAUCUAUUUUCUUGGCAACAAAAUUUAUUUUAUAUAUAGAUUUUUAAAUUUUCAUAUCUAUUUUCAUAUCUAUAUAUAUAAUAAAGCAAAGAAGUGUGCAUAAAAUUAUGCCAAGUGGCAUAUUGAGAACUAGCCACUUGGUAUUUUGGCGACAAAAAUCUAUUUUCUUGGCAACAAAAUUUAUUUUACUGAUUAAUUAUUUAUUUUAUAUAUAGAUUUUUAAAUUUUCAUAUCUAUUUUCAUAUGGUGGUAAAAAAUAUUGAAUGAACACUAUUAUUUAUUUUUAUUCUAUUAUUUCAUAUUUUCAUAUUGUAAUAAAAAUAAUUAUAACUGACUCCUAUGAAUGAACACUAUUAUAAUUAUUUAUAUAUUUCAACUCUAUAUAUAUAAUAAAGCAAAAUGUUUGAUGAAUACUUUUGUUUAUUUUUAUCUAUUAUUUCAUAUUGUGAUAAAAAAUAAUUAGAAUUGACUCUUAUUAAUGAACACUAUUAUAAUUAUUUAUAUAUUUCACAUUGUGGUAAAAAAUAAUUGACUUCUAUUUAAUUAGUAUAUAGAUUAUUUCAUAGAUAUAUAAAUUUUAAAAUAUUCGACAUAAAAAUUCCGUUAAUUACUCCUGAUUCCACUAUCAUUAGGAGUAAUUGCACAAUUUGUAUUUUAAAUAUAUAUUCUAAUCAAGCUAUAAGAGUAAUUCCACAAUCUGUAUUACAAUAUAUUUCAAUCAAUCAAGUGAUUUAAGAAGAUCAUCCGUCAAUUACUCCUAAUUUCACUAUCAUUAGAAGUAAUUCCACAAUUUGUAUUCCAAAUAUAUAUUCCGAUCGAGCUAUAGGAUUAAUUCCACAAUCUGUAUUCCAAUUUCCAAAUAUAUAUUGUAGACACGUGAUUUUUGACCCUCCCCGAGUGUAAUAUAUAUAUUUUUUAAUAUUUAAUAUUUAUAUUUGAUCCGAUAUUAUUUUAAUUUUGUUUGAAAAUAAAUAAAUAAAUAAAUAUUUUGGGAUAUUUUUAUUUUUAUUUUAAAAUAAUAUGAAAAAAUUUCAAAAGAUAUAUUUCUCUUUUAAUUUUAAUAUAUAAGUUAGUAGUUUUAGUACUCUCUUAAUUAUAUUAUUUUAGGCUAUUUAUAAAUUUUAAUUAUAUUUUUUUAAAUAUAAAAAUUAAUUAAUUAUUAUUAUAUUAUUUUUAUUGUUAUUAUUAUUAUUAUUAUUUUAUUUAUCUAUUUAUUAUUUUUAUUUUUUAUUAUUAUUAUCUUUUAAAAAAAAAGUUAAAUUUUGAAAAUCCUAUCCUAUCCUAAACCACCACAACCGGCAACCACCCCCACCUUUUCCUCCAACACCCUCAACUUCCCUCUUAAUACAUUAUAUAACACACAAGACACUAAGAGAAGAUGACGAUACACAAAAACACACGGACAUAAACCAAAAAGAAAAAGGAAACAGAAACAACAAAAAUGAAAACAAAAGGAAAAGAAGAGAAAAAGUGAGAAAAUUAAGAGAAAAAGGCAAAAGAGGAAAAAAUGGAAAGGAGUUUGAAUAUUCUUGGGUUGAAAGAUUGAAUUUAGAUUUCUGUUUAAAUUUUUGGUUCUACGUAAAAGCUUUCUCGUUUGGUUUAAUUCGUCAUACAAAUUCUUAUUCAAUCCUUGUACCAUUUUUUUGGAAUUAAAGCAUGAAUGAAGUUGUUCCAACGACUUGUCAUAUUAUUUAGUGUGUGUAGUUUGUUAUUUUUAUAUAGUUCGCACUUUACGUCUAUAUUUAUGAUUUAUUUAUUGACUUGAAAUUAUGUUGGUUAGUUUUCUUUUUUCUUCUUUGAAUUUUGAAUGACAUAUUUUUUUUAAAAGUUAAUAAUGUUGAAAGAUUGUAAAGUCACAUUUAGUUUAUGUAUAAUUAGAAAGUAUUUAUGAUAAAUCUUAUUAUGUGACAUAUGCAUGCAAAAAAAAAAAAAAUGUACACACCUGCACACAUUUUUUUACUACACACUAAAUGUUCCUAUAAAAAAUAUUGUUUUGACUUCAAGAAUGGCUAUUUUUAAGACAUUAUUCAUAUAACAAUGUGAAUAUAAAUAAGCCACUUUGUUAACAGAAGAAUUUUUAUAUAUAGUCCGGUAGUUUAUUUGAACCUUCCAUUGUACACUAAACAUAGAUUGUUUAAAUUGUCCAUUUACAUAUUAGAAAAAAUAUAUAUAUACAGAAAAUCAUCUACUACUCAUGUGAUUUUUGUAGUAAACAUUUAAAGGUUUUUGUUAGUUGUAUAUAUUUAACCUAUAUGUACGCAAACAGAUGAAAUGAUUAAAAAAAAAGGAAAGAAAAAGUAGAGAAAAUGAUGAAAGAAAAAUGGUUUAUUCAUUCUCUUCUUUUUUUUUUUGUAGUGUUUUAAGUUGUCAAGAUUUUUUUUAUUUUCUUUAAAAAAAAAAAAGUUUUUGUAGUUGGCUUUAAAAAUUGAAUCUUGAGGUUUAAGUUAUUAAUUUAAAUAACCAUUAUUGUUUCAAAUAAGUUAGGUCAAGUAUAGUAAUUUAAUUUUGUUGUUUCGUCUAUGUUUGGUCUGUUGUUCUAAUUGUAGUAUUUGAACGUUUGGUUUCAAUUGAUUGGAUGUAUUUACAUUUAUCAUCUUCUAAGAUUUUAGUUGUGAUCGGAAAUGAGUUGGCUCUCGGUUUGGUCAGUAGUUGGCCAUAGCAAAUAGAAUGAAUCAUGAUUUUAAAUUUUAAUUCAAGACCCAUAAUAUUUGACAAUAGAUCCGUUUUCGUAAGGAAGGGAGAUGAAUUGAGGAUAUAUUCUAAAACUCGUUGUGAAAUAAAGAGUGAAAAGAAUAAAAUGAAUAAGAUAAAAUGAUCUCAAAUUUUCAAGAAAUGAAGCAACUGUUUUUUUAAUGCUAGAUAAGCUUUCACAUUUAAUAAAUUUUGUCUCGAUUAAGAAUGCGGCGUACGCAUCUUUUUGAGACGUUUAAAAAUAAUUUGAGGAUGAAAUAUUGCACCUCGGCAAAGAUAGUCUUAAAAUUAAUUUUCACUAGUUUAAUACAAGAGUUAUAGACAAAUCUUAGAUAUUAAAAAUGAGCGAACCUAGGCCCUAACAUAAUUAUCAAAAUAGUUUAAGUCAAGAUAAGUCAAUAAAAACGAUCGUGCUAGAACCACGGGACUCGAGGGGUGCCUCACACCUCCCCCUCGGUCAACAGAAUUCCUUACUCGAUCUUAUGUUUUCGUAGACCAUAAUAAAGAGUCAUUUUCUUUUGACUAGGGAUUCGAAAAGGUGACUUGGAACACCAAAACUCAAUUCCAAGUGGCGACUCUGUAAAUAAAAUAAUCCUUAUUCAAAACUGUCGCUUUAAUUGAAAAAAUCGUUUGACCUCGGCCCUCGAGCGGAAAAAGGGGUGUGACAUAUAUUGCAAUCAAAUGAUACUCCUAAUUCCACAAUUUGUAUUCCAAUUUUCAAAUAUAUAUUUCAAUCAAUCAAGUGAUUUAAGAAGAUCAUACAAAUGGUAAAUGAAUAUGGUAAGUGAAUUGUCGAUUUUCCUACUCCCAUGGAUGAAAAGUAGAUGGCUAUGGUAAGUGAAUCGUAUAUAUAUUAAAUCAAACAUUUAUACUGCCAAUCAUUACCAUAUAUGACUAUGGUAAGUGCUACUAAAUUGUAAUACAACUAAUCAUGAGGCAAUAAUUGUAUAUGGAAAAGUAAUAUAUUUUCAUCAUAUAUUCUGAUCAUAAUUGAUUCUAACUAAUUUUGUAAAAAAAUCAUAUAAUUAUAAAAGAAAAUGCAUAUUUAAUAUAAUUAUUAUUAGUUAAGACAAGUUUCAUCUUGAGAACUAACUAUUUGAAUUCUUAUAACAAAAAGCUAUCAUUUCAUAACAAAAAUUUAUUUUGUUUAUUAUUUAACUAUUAAAUAUUAUUUCAUAUUGUGGUAAAAAAUAAUUAAGAUUUAUUUCUAUUAGAGGAAAACUAUUAUGAUUUAUUAUUGUUUCAUUUAAUGUUAUUUCAUAUUAUGGUAAAAAUCGAUGAGAAAAGACAUCUUUUCACCCCUGAACUUGUUCGCAUAACUUACUUUAGCACUUAAACUUAACUUCCGUUUAUUUACCCCCUUAAUAUCUUUAAAGUGUAUUAAUUUCACCCUUCAAAACUGAAUACCACUCUCACAAUGAAGAGUGUGUUACACUCGCCUACACAUCAAUGCCACGUUAUUGCCACGUAAGAAAUUCAAUUUAAAAAAAAAUUAAUCCCCCACACAUUAUUUAUAUAUAUAUAUAUAUAUAUAUAUAUACUCCACCUCCAUUUUCUUUCUUCUUCACACCCCCCCUCACCCAGCGCCCUACCCUGCAACGCAACCGCCCCUACCCUGCAAACGUAGCCCCCCCUCUUUUUAUCUUCUUCAAAUCACCUCACCUCUCCCAUCUCCUCCAUUUUCUAUCUUCGUCAAACUUAAAACAUAUUACCAAUAGCCAUUGUUGUUGUCCACAAAGCAAAAGGAAAGUACCAAUUACUCCUUCAUUAAACCACCAAUUCAAGAAACAACAAUGCAAUAGCAUCACUACGUCCCAAUUCAAAAUUCUUCAUUCCAACAUAUUCCGACAAAACUCACCAGAAAAUAAUUAAAACAAACCCACAAAAGAAUAUACAUGCAAAAUUAACACCACCACCACCAUUGACGGACCCCAAAAUUACAAUAUUAAUCCCACCAACGACCACCAUUGACGGACACACACCAUCUCCUCAAUUUUUAUUUAUAAUACCAUUAACGAACAAUUGUUAAUUAUGGACCCAACCCCCUCCCCCCUUACCAUUUUCAUUUUGGUCCUUCCUUCUCUCUCUUUCACCAUUUGUACGUGCUUAGUACUUUUGGCCUAACAAAUUCCCCCCAUUUUUGUUCCCUUUUUGCUUUCUUUCACCCAAAAAAUCAGACAAACACUAAUAAGAAAAAAUUGUUGUAAUUCAAAGACAGUGAUGAAGUAAAAACUACAACAUUUUAGCAUUGACAGUGGGUUAUUAAUCUGGGUAUUCAUUAGUUUUCUGUUUACUACUACUAUCACAUUUUGGUGUUUUGUGUGUUCUAUUGUUGUUUUACUUUUAGUUAUGUUGAUGCAUUUUUUGUUUCAUGCAUCUGUUGUUGUAACAUUUCCUUUUUAAUUUUUUAAUAAAUGUUCCUGUAGCUCCUUUUGGUGGUGAUGGAAAAAGUUGUAGGGAAGAAGAAAAAGAAAUGGGGGUGGUGGGGUGUGAGGAAGAAAGACAAAAAAUAAUGGUUAAAAAUAUUAAAGUGGACCCUACUAAAAAAAUUUUAUAUUAUUUUUCGCUAAAACGCGCCUUUGUUUUUUUUUGGCCACGUCAGCCCUUAAGGGAGCAAAAUAAUACAUUUUGAAGUUGUUAAGGGGGUAAAUAAUUGUCCGAUUAGUUUAGACUCUAAAGUAAGUUUUGGCGACAAGUUNNNNNNNNNNNNNNNNNNNNNNNNNNNNNNNNNNNNNNNNNNNNNNNNNNNNNNNNNNNNNNNNNNNNNNNNNNNNNNNNNNNNNNNNNNNNNNNNNNNNNNNNNNNNNNNNNNNNNNNNNNNNNNNNNNNNNNNNNNNNNNNNNNNNNNNNNNNNNNNNNNNNNNNNNNNNNNNNNNNNNNNNNNNNNNNNNNNNNNNNNNNNNNNNNNNNNNNNNNNNNNNNNNNNNNNNNNNNNNNNNNNNNNNNNNNNNNNNNNNNNNNNNNNNNNNNNNNNNNNNNNNNNNNNNNNNNNNNNNNNNNNNNNNNNNNNNNNNNNNNNNNNNNNNNNNNNNNNNNNNNNNNNNNNNNNNNNNNNNNNNNNNNNNNNNNNNNNNNNNNNNNNNNNNNNNNNNNNNNNNNNNNNNNNNNNNNNNNNNNNNNNNNNNNNNNNNNNNNNNNNNNNNNNNNNNNNNNNNNNNNNNNNNNNNNNNNNNNNNNNNNNNNNNNNNNNNNNNNNNNNNNNNNNNNNNNNNNNNNNNNNNNNNNNNNNNNNNNNNNNNNNNNNNNNNNNNNNNNNNNNNNNNNNNNNNNNNNNNNNNNNNNNNNNNNNNNNNNNNNNNNNNNNNNNNNNNNNNNNNNNNNNNNNNNNNNNNNNNNNNNNNNNNNNNNNNNNNNNNNNNNNNNNNNNNNNNNNNNNNNNNNNNNNNNNNNNNNNNNNNNNNNNNNNNNNNNNNNNNNNNNNNNNNNNNNNNNNNNNNNNNNNNNNNNNNNNNNNNNNNNNNNNNNNNNNNNNNNNNNNNNNNNNNNNNNNNNNNNNNNNNNNNNNNNNNNNNNNNNNNNNNNNNNNNNNNNNNNNNNNNNNNNNNNNNNNNNNNNNNNNNNNNNNNNNNNNNNNNNNNNNNNNNNNNNNNNNNNNNNNNNNNNNNNNNNNNNNNNNNNNNNNNNNNNNNNNNNNNNNNNNNNNNNNNNNNNNNNNNNNNNNNNNNNNNNNNNNNNNNNNNNNNNNNNNNNNNNNNNNNNNNNNNNNNNNNNNNNNNNNNNNNNNNNNNNNNNNNNNNNNNNNNNNNNNNNNNNNNNNNNNNNNNNNNNNNNNNNNNNNNNNNNNNNNNNNNNNNNNNNNNNNNUUAUCACAUUAACUAUAUGAAAGUUAUUAAUUGAUUAGCAGUCAAGCAACAUAUAUGGUAAAAUAAUAUUAUAAUUAAGAGUCAUUUCUAUAUAAAAAUCUCUAUGUAAAAUACUAUAUAUAUGUGAAUUCUAACUCCACAAUAUCAAUCUAUGAGAUUAUUUGAAGAAGAAAGCAUAGAAACAAGAACUCGCUCGACUAAGGAGGAGAUUUUAUUCAACUCUUAGUGUAUUUUCAUAGAGGAAAGAAAAGACCAUUGUUGUGUACACAUACGGUUCGAGAGAGAAUUAGUUUUGAAUUUUUCAAUCAUUUUUUCUGAAUACUAUUCUAUCACAUACUCACUAUCAUAUUCUAUAAUGAUUUAAUUAUUGUAAUAUAGUUUCUUCUACAAUUUGUAAAAAAAAAAGUUGAUACUAAUUGCUUGAGGACAUGUCUUUUGUUUUUUAAUUUAUUUUUGAGUAGUUGAUGAUUUCUAGAUUAUGAACCCAACUGAUUUUAUUUUCUUAUUUAGUCUUGCUAAAUUUUUUUAUCUUCCAAUUAAUAGUUGUAUUCUCUUUCAUGUAUUGUUCAUUACUUCAAUUUUGUUUACAUUUUUGAAAUCUUUAUUAUUGGUAUGAUUAUUCAUUAAAUUUAACUGAUACUACUUUUAUUUUUCUAUAUAAUUUUUGGAAGAAAUUAAGAUACAAAAACCUAACAGAAUUGCAAAUAAUUGAGUGUCAUUUUGAGAAAAGGUGAAUUUCCCUAUUUGAUUUCAAAUGAGGUUGUGAAUACGUGUGUAUGGGUGUGUGUAUAUAUAUUGGUGAAAUAUUUAUAUACACAUCUAUAUACAUAAUAAAGUUGUAUAGUCUAGCCAAAUUUAAGCUAAGUGACAUCUUGAGAACUAUCCUCUUGAAUUCUUACAACAAAAAACUAUCAUUUUGUAACAAAAAGCUAUUUUAUUGAAUAUUUAAAUAUUUAAUAUUAUUUUUUAUUUCAUAUUUUUAUAAAAAAUAACUAAUAUUUAUUUCUAUUGGGUGGAAGCUAUUAUGAUUUCAUACUAUUUCAUUUAAUAUUAUUUCAUAUUGUGGUUAAAAAAAAUAAAUUUCAUUUAUGUCGGAUGAAAACCAUUACUAUUGUUCAAUUAUUUUAUAUUAAGAUUAGUAGUUAAUUAUGUCAUAUUAUUCUAUGUUUUUAUUUAUUAUUUAUUUAUUUAAUAUUAUCUCACAUUUGAUAUUGAGGUAAAAAUAGAUGAUUGUUCAAUUAUUUUAUAUUAAGAUUAGUAGUUAAUUAAUUUAUGUUUUGUCGAUUAUUCAUUUAUUUAUUUCAUAGCCUUCAUAUGUUUAAAAAAAAAUAUGUAAUAUUAGUUUUGCAAUUACUUGACAUAUAUGAAAAGACAUAUUGAGUAACUCAAUAUGACAGGAUAAUCAAUUACAAUCAAGAAACAUAAUUGGAAAAGAAAUAUUUUAAUUGAGAUGAGAAACUUUUAGUAUUAAUGGAAGGAUGUUAAAUUUUGAAUUCAAAUAAAACAAAAAUACGAAUUUAAUUAAAAGAUAGUUAAAAUUAGAUAUUACUACUAUAUUGAGACUGAUCCAACUAAUUAAACAAUCUUUGUAUGAAUUUCACUAAUUACAUUUUUGUAUAAUAGAAAAUAGUUAAUUGCCAAUCUUGAAACAAAUAUUAUCAAAUGGGGAAUAUGAUAAUAUAGAUGUCACCAAUAUGGGUUGUGGUGCAGUGGAUGGGGCUGCUCUACUCUUAAUCAGAGGUCGAGAGUUUUGACCCUGGAUAUGGAGAAAACUUUGUUGGGAGCGCUGCCACCUUAAUGGGACUGCAACACGCGAUCCGAAUUAGUUAGCCCUCCAAUGAGGGAACCAGACACUGGAUAAAAAACCAAAAAAAAAAAAAUAUAAAUGUCAUCCCUCAAAAUAUGCAAACAAUAUAAAUAAUGAUUUUAUAUUAAAAAAAUUGUGAUUUCAUUACAAUUGAGUAAAUCAAGAAAGUAUUACAAGAAAAAAUUGUGAAUUAAUAAUCAAUUAGCAAUCAAACAACUUAUAUGGAAAAAGUUUAACUGGAAUUUUUUAAAAAAAAAAUCAACUUUAAUCGCAUAAGUUUGACCUAUUUUUGUAAAACAAUAAAUGAAUGAAUAUAAGAAAAUCCGUAAUUAGGAAAGAAAAUAACUAUUACCUUAUUUGAGUGAUUAGAAAAUUAUAAAGAUAAUUAAAUAAUCAAUUGACUAUAGUCAAAUUAUAAUUUUAUAAGAAAUUUUUGAGAAAUAAAUCAGUAAUUGAGAAAAAAAUUAAUUGUUACCUUUUUAAAAUUCUUCCACAAAUUAUAUAGGAAACUAAUAUCAAAUUAAUAUAAUCAAAUUAUAAAAAUAUGAGAAAUUUAUGAGCUUGAAUUUUCGAAAUCAUAAAGGUAACUAAUAUCAAUUGUUUCCGUUUUUGAGUCCUUUGUAUAAUUGUACAUUAAUUAAAUAUAAUAAAUGUUUUGCGGAGAAAUUUUGACUUUUUGAAGAGAGUCGCNNNNNNNNNNNNNNNNNNNNNNNNNNNNNNNNNNNNNNNNNNNNNNNNNNNNNNNNNNNNNNNNNNNNNNNNNNNNNNNNNNNNNNNNNNNNNNNNNNNNNNNNNNNNNNNNNNNNNNNNNNNNNNNNNNNNNNNNNNNNNNNNNNNNNNNNNNNNNNNNNNNNNNNNNNNNNNNNNNNNNNNNNNNNNNNNNNNNNNNNNNNNNNNNNNNNNNNNNNNNNNNNNNNNNNNNNNNNNNNNNNNNNNNNNNNNNNNNNNNNNNNNNNNNNNNNNNNNNNNNNNNNNNNNNNNNNNNNNNNNNNNNNNNNNNNNNNNNNNNNNNNNNNNNNNNNNNNNNNNNNNNNNNNNNNNNNNNNNNNNNNNNNNNNNNNNNNNNNNNNNNNNNNNNNNNNNNNNNNNNNNNNNNNNNNNNNNNNNNNNNNNNNNNNNNNNNNNNNNNNNNNNNNNNNNNNNNNNNNNNNNNNNNNNNNNNNNNNNNNNNNNNNNNNNNNNNNNNNNNNNNNNNNNNNNNNNNNNNNNNNNNNNNNNNNNNNNNNNNNNNNNNNNNNNNNNNNNNNNNNNNNNNNNNNNNNNNNNNNNNNNNNNNNNNNNNNNNNNNNNNNNNNNNNNNNNNNNNNNNNNNNNNNNNNNNNNNNNNNNNNNNNNNNNNNNNNNNNNNNNNNNNNNNNNNNNNNNNNNNNNNNNNNNNNNNNNNNNNNNNNNNNNNNNNNNNNNNNNNNNNNNNNNNNNNNNNNNNNNNNNNNNNNNNNNNNNNNNNNNNNNNNNNNNNNNNNNNNNNNNNNNNNNNNNNNNNNNNNNNNNNNNNNNNNNNNNNNNNNNNNNNNNNNNNNNNNNNNNNNNNNNNNNNNNNNNNNNNNNNNNNNNNNNNNNNNNNNNNNNNNNNNNNNNNNNNNNNNNNNNNNNNNNNNNNNNNNNNNNNNNNNNNNNNNNNNNNNNNNNNNNNNNNNNNNNNNNNNNNNNNNNNNNNNNNNNNNNNNNNNNNNNNNNNNNNNNNNNNNNNAAAGGUAUUACAAGGUCAGUUUUUUCUUUUUUAGGGGUAAAAAUAAAAAGUUGUAUUAAAUUUAUGUCUUUAAUGCUUUUUACUUAAUCUGUGUGCCAAAAUUCAACAAUUCAUUUAGCACCUAAAAUUAAAAUAAUAUCAUAAAAAUAGCACGCACAAUUAAAUACUCAUAAAAUAGCCAUUAGCCGUGUAUCAUUUUCAUUUUUGAAUCUCAAAAGUUCGGUGGAAUACCACCAUCAAACACGUAUACAAAUUUUUACACCUUUACAAAUUUUCCCUUAUUUUUUUCAACAACAUUAACACACUUUAUGUGUUCAUCAACUUUCAUUUCAAAGCUAAUUUACCUCUCAUCGAACCACCUUUUCCUGUACGCGAUUUGAGCAAUUUCUUCUUCAGAUUAGAUUCAGUAUCCUUACCUUUCACACCUGUUUUACUCUGCGAUCAAGUGUUUCUUCUAGUAGAGAUUUGGCCAAUGGAUUUAGAAUUUGAUUGCAACUUGAAAUCAGGAACAAUUUGUACAACUACUCUCUUUAAUGAUAAAUGAUUCUCAGUAAAUUCAUAAACAGAUAAAGGAUUCUCUUUCACCACUUUCUUGGUUGCUUUUCCAUUCGAUGGAUUCGAUUUUUCCAUCAUUUUCAACAAAAACCUCAAAAUCAAACAGAGGAUUUCGAAGCAGAGUAAGAAUUUUUAGGUAGAUUAUACGGUAGAAAAGUGUAACAAAAGAAGAUUUAUUGAUAUCAAAUUAUAGAGUAAAAAUAUACUUUUCGUUUCUAUUUUUAAAAAAAUUGUUAUUUGUCUUAGCUGGGCGGUUAAUAAAAAAUAGCUAUUGUAUAUGCUUGCAAAGAUUGUAUGAAUGUAUGAGCACUGUAUAUGCAUGCAUAAAUUCCCCUUCUAUCUUGUUAUAAAGUGUAUCAAUGUGGUAUAAAAGAGUAUCUAUUGAGCAUAUGAUUCUCUCUUUCUUUUUUAAAAAGUGUAUCAAUGUAAGAUAAAAGUGUAUCAAUGUGGUAUAAAGUGUAUCUAUCUAGUAUAAAAGAGUAUCAAUUGGAUAUAUGGACACUGCAUAUGCAUAAAUUCCCUUCUACCUUGUUAUAAAAGUGUAUCAAUAUGGUAUAAAAGAGUAUCAAUUGAGUAUAUGAUCCCCUCUUUCUUUUUUAAAAAAUGUAUUAAUGUAAUAUAAAAAUGUAUCAAUAUGAUAUAAAAGUAUAUCAACUGAGAAUAGAAACUGCAUAUGGUCAACUAGGCAAAUGGCUAAAAUAGGUAUCCACCUUUUCAAAUUGUGAUUAUUAUUUUUUUUAAAUUGUCAACCCAUGUCCCUUUCCCAUAAAUUUACUGCUUUUAAAGGUACAUUAACAAAUGCCUAUAGUUAAUAAUAAUGAUUAAUUAGAAACUACUCUCUCCAUUUCAUUUCAUUUGGCUUCCGCCUAGUCAUAGGGUUUUAAUUUACUUAUCUAUUUUUCUCAAAUUAAAAAAGUUCCAAUUAUUCUUCCUCAUACUAAUAAUUAAUAAUAGUAGUCAAAUUUAGAGUUUCAAAACAUCAUUAAUAAGAUUAUUUAAUAAAAUAUAUUUCUAAUUAAAUGACAUUAUAGACUUAUGUGUUUUUCGUUCUUCUGAAUUAUAUUUACUCGUCAAAAUUUUAUACAAGAGUAUUAUGUUUUUCUCUUGAAUUUUGAAUUUAUGUUUCGAUUUAUUUGUCUUAGUAUUAUAGACAUGCUAUUUUAUAUUGCAUGUCACCGCAAAUUGUCUAAUAACAUAUGAUUUCAAUUUUUCUAUGGCUUUCCAAAUAUGUCCUUAACUAUUUUUUAGUUUCACCUUAUUUUGGAAAGAUGUACAUAGUUUAAUGACAAUACUUUCCUAAAAAAAAUUAACAAAAGUUACUUUAGUAGAAUAUUUGCACAAGUUCAAUGGCAAUUUGAAAAAUUAACUCGACAAUUUGAAGUGAUAUGCAAUAUAAAAUAACAAAUCUAUAAUACUAAAACAAAUAAAUUGAAACAUAAAACAAAACACAAAUUGAAAAUUCAAGAAAAAAACACAAUACUCUUAUAUAAAAUUUCAACGAGUAAAUAAUUCAAAAGAAAGGAAAUGCUGAAAUACUACUUUAAUUCAAUAAUGAAAUACUAUUUUAAUUCAAACACUAGAAUAAAAAUGCAAUAAUCGCUAAAUGAAGAAAAAAUACGAGUAAUUAUAUUGAAUCAUAAGAAGUAAAGGUUGGAAAAUGAGAAGAAAAGAGGUGAAAGAUAAAUAAUGUAAAAUGAAAAAAAUAGAAAUAAAAAAGAAAUUAAAAUAAUAGAAAUAAAAAAUAAAAUUAAAAGAAAGAGAAAUUAAAAUUAAAAAAAAAAUGUAAUUUUGUAAUUACAUCACGUAAUUGCACCUAAUUCUCUAUUCUUAAUUGAGAAUUGGACUAUGUAAUUACAUCUAAUUUCACUUUUCUUGUGGUUCUCCAAACAUAUCCUUAACAAUUUCUUAGUUUUAUCUUAUAAUGGAAAGAAGUGCAUAGUUCAGUGACAAUAUUGUCCUAAAAGAAACAAAAGUUACUUUAGUGGGAUGUUUACAUAAUUUCAAUCACAUUUUGAGGAAUUAACUCUAAAAAUUUCUUUUUUGUUUGUUCUAUGCACGAUUUUAAUGCUCGUUUGCACCUAAUCAGUAGUCAAUAUUUCUCUCUUCUUCCUCAUAAUAUAAAAUUGUCUCAUGACAUAGGUUUUGUGUUGUUUAUUCAUCAUAUCUGCUCAGUGAUCACACUUUCUUGUUUAUCAAUUUUAUUAAGGUAUUAUAUUGUUGACUAAAACUGAAAAAGACCUCUUACUUAUAAUUAAAUACUCUAGUACCCGACCUAAACAUACCUUCCCAAUUAUCCUCUCCUUUCAAUUACAAUUAAUUCAGGAGUGUUUGGUCACGGUCAAUCAAUGUAAACUGAUUUCUUCGUCUUGUUUUUUCUAAAUACCUCAUACUGAUAUUUUGAGAAAAUAUUAGUGUUAAUUAAUAGGAAUAUUUGACAAUUUACGAUCAUUUAUUUUUUAAUUAGAAAAAAGCUAGAGAUCGCACCUUGUAGUUGUUCGGAAAAAUCAUUACACGCUCAAACUAAAGAUUAAUAUACAAGAAUAUGUGUGUGUGUAAGAAGUUCAAAGUACGAAUUUAAUUGAAUAAUUGAUCAUCGCAGCCUCCAAAACUUGCCUAUAUAUGAAACUCAACGCAACUUGGAAGUUCAAUCUGACUCAAUCCAUCUAUGUGCACAAUACUAAUUAAUAGCUAUUCAUUCAACCAAUUAAUUACUCGACCCCUAAUAAUCAAUCCUUGGAAAUAAUAUCCUGAAAACAAAGUCUUAGAAGCCUAAUUCUAGAGCAACUGAUCAAAUAAUAUAUAAUCAAAUCAAAGGUUAUUACAACAAAAUAUAUGGAGUAUGUAAAAAGUAAAAAAAAUCAAAUACAAUUCAUCACAACGUCGACCUCCAAAACAAGCCUAUAUAUACAUAUAAAAUUCAACAUGCAUCCAGCUUCUUAGUGCAACUUGGGAGUUGAAAUUCCCUUAUUGAAUCAGUUUUCAACUCGUCCAUGUCUGAUCCGAUCCAAUUAAAAAUUCUUGGAAAUAUAUAUAUAUGCAUGUAUUACAGGCGCGAAAGCUGUGAGUUGAUGGGGAAGUAAGAAACAGGAAUUGGAGCACUUGAUGACGAUGAUUUCUUUUUGGUCUUUGCAGCUGAUGACUUUGACUUACCAUUAUUGUGGAUCACAUCAUCACAAACUCUUGAAGAUGAAGAAACUCCAACACCACCACUGAAACAGCUCAAUAAACCUGGAAAAAUUGCCAUAUAUAUCUUAUGAAUGAUUUUUUGCUUAUAAUUAAUGAGAGGAGCUAAUUAAGCUAAUUAAUUGUUGUUCCUUUUUUCCUAGUAAUGAGAGCUAAUGGAACCACCAGAAGAACUAUAUAUGGGGAAAUUGAAAUAUCUGCAGUUUAUGUGGCUUUGCUUUUCUUGUUGACCAAGUAAAUUGAAAAUGAUGAUCAUUCUGGUGCUUCCUACUGCUUUCCCAGAUUUCUUUUUUGACUUUAGGCUAUACAUGUUAUGGACUAUAAUUGACUGGGAAUCAGAAUUGUAUUUCCUGCCUUUCAAUUUAAUUUAUGUCACAUCAGUUAACUUGACAUAAAAUAAUAUAAAAAAAG